UUUUUUUUAAACUUCCCUAUUUUUGUUUAAAACCUUCUACGCACGCAAACCCUCACAAACAAAUGACUUGACUAUCUUAAGUGUCAGGCUCCUUUCUUGAAUGGAUAUACUAAACCCUUUCCUGUUUAUAGAAUAUUAAUCAAGAUUAAUCAAAGAACUUCAGAAGAGGAUUUCUUUAAAAUGUGACACAAAAUUCAAAGCUGGAUUGAUUUAUUAGAUAUGGCUACUUUCGAUUUGGUUUGGUUUGCUAGUGUAAUGGAGGAUUGAGCAGAUAUGAAAAUGAAGGUUGGUGAUGUAUAAUUUCUGUUUAAUUUUUGUAGCUGUUUUCUAAUUGAUUCAAUAUAAACAGUAUAGUCAUAUAAUAAAAUGUAGCUGUGCUAGACUACAGUAACAUUUUAGUUGUAUAACUACAGUUGUGCUAGAUUAGAGUUCCAGGUAGGGUUUCAUCUGCUUUUUUAUAAUUGUUUUUGUAUUUUGAAGACUAAAUCAUUUAUGUUUAUUUCACGUUUAUGUUUUACUGUAUCACUCAGACAUAUAUCCAAAAUAUAUUGAUGCAACAGUUACACUUUUAAAUCACUAUUAUUAAACUUAUGUAGUUUAGCAUGUAUCAAUAUUCUUAAAGACUCAGAACACAACUCAUUGGAAAAAGACAUCAGGAUAAUAUGAAACAGUUGGAGCAUUAUAAUGUAAAUAGUUGAAAACUAAAAAAAAAAAAAAAGUGCCAUUAUCUCUCAAUUAAACAUUUUUCAAAAGAAAACCUUUGGAUGGGCUCUACCAGUUUAUUAUUUAUUUAUUUUAAACUCAUUUUAACUUAUUUUAUGAUGUGAAUGAAUUCUUGAAGUAAUGUCCAAACACAUCAGUGAAAGUUUUGUUUCAUCAGAUUGCAGUCUAUUCAUGGAUUUAUACAGUUAAAGACAUAAUAGGUAAUAUCAUGAAAAUUUACUGCAAAUAUGUUCAAAUACAACAUUCUAAAAGUUAUUUUGUGUUUAUGCAGGUACAAAGUGUAGCAACAUCCAGAAAAAUCAAAGUACCAUUGAUAUUAUCUCUAUCUAUAAUCCAGGUAUAUUUCACUUUAGAAGACAUUAAUUGUAAGUAAACAAAACUUAUUUUUUUUCUCAAAAAUGAUUUACUUUAUAUGUCAAUUCAGAAUGGUCUAUUGUAUUUGCUGUGAUUUAGCUACUUAGCAGAAUAAAAGUACUAUUAUAUCCUAAUAAUGAUUCUUGAGAACUUUUAAUAUGCACUAUAUAUUACUGGUUUUGUCAGGUGAGUCUGCAUUUCAAGAGCUAAUCAAAGUGAAUUUUACAAAAAAAUGUACUGGCCUCAAUUAUCAGCUAUGCCUCUUGUAAGAUAAUCACUGUCAUGGACGGCCCACACAGGUCACUCAAUGUUAGAAUCUCUGCAUGGACUUUGAAAACAAUAAGAAAAAACAAUGAGAGAGGUUCUACUGAUAUUUAAUAGUUGAAAGUAUUCAAAAUGCUUGAAAAUCAUGAAAAACACGAUUUAUCGUGAUUUCAUUUAUUUUGUUAUUUUUGACUCUUUUAGUCUGAAUUUUAUUUUAACUUUUGAUUAAACUCAUGGAAGGGUUUCCCAGGAGUUUUUAUGUUUCUUUGUUGUACUAAUCUCUACAUGUAAACCUGUGGUGCUCAUUUUGUAAAUGGUAGAUAUGUGGUAAUGACUCACAUCUGGGGUAGCCUGUCACAACUGAGAUAUAUCAGCAACAACUCAGGUCACCCAGAGGAUUGUACCUUUGUCAAUCGUAAGACUGACAUUUUGUCAGGAGUGCUGGAGUCUUACCUCGUUAGUUCAACAUUCUAUCAGAUUCCGCAAGCUCUCCUUUUAUUUAUGCCUGAAUUCACAUCUGAACUCACGUCUGAAUGAUAUAUCUGCUGGACCUUGUCUGGGACGCUCUAGUGACAUUGCGGAUUGGGCUGUUACAUUUUUUCAACCGCCCGCACAUCAUCUUGCUCUGUAAGAUGACUUUAGCCAAUCUGAGACUAGUCCCACCUGUUUAAACUUUCCUGUCUCACUCCUUAUUGCACUAUUGUUAGCCCAAUGGCGCAUUCUUGUAAUCUUCUGUUAUUCAGUUAUUGGCCCAUCGGCAUUGUUUAUAGUUUAUUCUGACCUCUGUGCUUCCUUAACUUGACAAGUUUCAAAUUAUCCUGAUUUCUUCUGUCCUUGACCUUGGUUAUUGCUUUGACUACUGUAUUCCAUUAAGGUCCGGUAGAUGGAUUGUUUCUCCAUUAUUGUGUACUGUGUUUGUGUCUUUUGGUUCUUACCCUAUCCUGACACAUAUGCAAAUGUCUUUGUAUUCUCCAAAAAUAUAUUUCCCUACCCAACCUACUCCCCCUAACCAUAAUAUUAAAUAAAGGGGGCAAUCAAACUAAUACAUGUAAAAAAAAACCUCAUGUUACCAUUAGAUGUCUUAUAGUUUUCUAAAUUAUUUUUCAGCCUUAAAAAGGCCAAAAUGAAAUCCAUAAUCAUGCAGAGUAAAAAAAUUGUUUGCAAAAAAAGAUGAAAAAUAUCCCAUGUGAGCACCAUAGGGGUUCUGCUCAGAAUUAUCUUACAAGAAGGGGUAAUCCCUUAUAAGGUCAUGCCGAUGCUAUGCAAGCUCAGAGUACUCUGACUGAUUGGCUUACAAGCCAAUCAAUCGCUUUACUGCCCAUGGCUAAGCCCAGAAGGUGUGAUUAGAGUGUCACCCAUUUUUUUUAUGUAAUAGCUCAUGGCCACAGACACUAUCCAUGGACUGUUGGACGACAACAGUUAAGUGAUACCACAUUAAGUAGGACAGGGGCAAAAUCAAACUAAAAAUAUUUUUUUUGCAUACUGCAAUUUAGAUUCUUCCAUUUGGACCUUGCAAAUACCAAAUUAACUUAAGAUAAUUAUACACGUAGAGUUGUCAUUGAAUUUCAAACUAAGGCCUUGAUUACAUUCCCACCAAUACAUCAUAUCAACUCAUGAUACAACUUUCAUCAGUUCAGCUCAAUUUAAAUCCUAAUAUUAAAAGUUCACCGGAAGCCAAUAAAUAUCAGUCUGAACAUCAAGUUCUGUAUCUAUAUUUUUUAAUGUAAAAUAUCAGAUUCUAUGAUUCACUGCUUUUUAUUAAGGACAUAAUUCUCAAUAAAUAGGUUUAAAAAAGCCAACAGCAUACAUUGUUUGUAAUCUAAAAACUACUACAGCACUAAUAGACAGUGAAAUAGUAAAAAACAAACAAAAAAAAAAAAAAAUAAGAAAAGGCCUGUGGAAGUCAAUAUGACCCUCACAUUAGUAGAGGGAGAUUCAUUACCUCCCAUAUGCCCCCACUUGUCUUGCAGUGAAUAGAAGCAUGUCAUCUAAAGAGCAGCAAGUGGUUGCCCAGUCACCUUUAACAUACUGGGGGGACCUGGUAGGGGCUGUUAACUAAAAUUUGUGGAGUGAACAGAUCACUGUCCACCCCUACAAUUAAAUGAUAAAUAUGGGGGGACAUAUUGUACUCUGUGAGCCCCCGGCUUUGACUAGUGUUUGGUGGCUAUUAAAUAAAGUAAGCGCUCAGCUCCCACUCAUUGGGAGAAGGUGGGGGCUAGUAUCUAAAUAUUAACAUAGGGGGAACAAAAUUGGCUCUUUUUUCAUUGCCAAUUAUGAGAUGCCAAAUUAAAUUAUUAUAUAUUGGGAUUUUUUUUUAAAUAGGAAUAUUGCAAUGAUUGUAAUCUUUUUUAUUUUGCCAUCUUGUGUUAAAAAAUGGAGCAGGAGCCAUUUUUAAAAAAUGGGGAGCAGGAGCCAUUUUAAGUUGAAACUAGGGGAUUUAUCAAAAAAUUUAAGGAAAAUGUCAGUGUUCAAAUUACCACCCACUCACUCCACUAGUUGCAGUCAAAUUGUGUUGAAAAAUCAUGCUUGUAAAUAUAGAUUGUUUGCUGCUUUUUUAUUCCAAUAUUGGUCAGUGGCUACUUGAUCUUAGUUAAUAAAAUUAUCAUUUACUGUUGUCCCAUUACCAUGAAUUAUCUUUUUUUUACUAGCUCAUGAUUGGACAGGAGAUGCAGUCCAGGUGAUUGAAUGGACCUCUUGUCCAUCAUGGCAAACUAAGCUUCUUAUUUAUAGAAAAGACCAAACUAGCAUGCUAAAGUCGAGAAGGUAUUUAUCCUAGUUUGUUCCAAAAUUAGAAAGUGCUUCACACUGGGGUUUUGCCUUCUUCUUGAGGCAAAUCUGAUGUGAGAAAAGCUGAAUUUGAUGUACGCAAGUAAUUUUUGAGCCUUUAUAACUAUGUAUUUGCCCCCACUAAGAAAAACAACUAAGAAAAAAAGAAACAAGCCUUAUCUAUUCCAUCCAUUUUUUCUGGUGCCAGAUACAAUACUGUGAACCAUGAGCCAAAACGUGCAUGUUUGGUCUUGUGCAAAUAGGUUCCUCCUGGUAUUCUGACAUGAGGUGGCUCAGAAAAUGGAAUGUUGUCCAUUCACUUGAGCCAAGUCUACCAGAAAUCGUUUAAAUAGGUUAUCAUAGUCAAGAGCACAUGAAACAAUUAAGGAUUAGACUAUUCCUAUUUCCCAAUAAGGACACCCUCAGGGAGACAGAUAUGCUUUGUCAGGAUGGAGAUCAUGAAAAUAGGCCAAUAUUUUCUUAUUUUUUUAAUAUGACUUUUGAAUCAAGGAUCCCUUUAAUUUCAAAUUCUUCAUCAUCAUUGAUGAGAAUAGGAAAUGGUUUUGUUGGACAUCUGGAUGGAUUUAACUUAUCCAUAGGUUUACAACAAUUAUACAUGAAAGAUCUGUAUGGAUUCUAUAGGAAGUUGGUAAAAAUCAUUUACAACAAACAGGAUUAAUUUGAGAUUAAAUUUAGUAUGGACUGAUAAUGGUAUCACGACAUUUUUUUAGAGGGCCGAGAAAGAUUUACGCUUCUUGUAUAAAGUAGAACUUUACCUUCCACUUUAUAUUUGGAACUAGGAUUUUGAUAUAAAUCAGCAAACAUUUAUACUAUUUUUCGAUGUGGGUCAAAGUUUUCUUUAACAAGGACAAAUUGUNNNNNNNNNNNNNNNNNNNNNNNNNNNNNNNNNNNNNNNNNNNNNNNNNNNNNNNNNNNNNNNNNNNNNNNNNNNNNNNNNNNNNNNNNNNNNNNNNNNNCCAGGAUCUGGUUUUUAAAAGGACUAAACCUGAGGAAAGGAAGACUUUGUUAUAUCUGGUGGAAGAAAUGAUGUGUGAAUAAAAUAUCACCUGCGAAGAGUGAUAUUAUUGCAAGCUAGAAGGAUGUCAAUCCCACAAACAGAUAUAGUUCAAGUUCCAUAACAAAAAUGAUGGGUGACAAACAGGAACCCUGAAGAUUACCAUUGGUUAUGUGCAGGAGUGUGGAUAGCUAGCCAGAACUGAGAACUUUUGUAAAAGGCUGUGAAAGCACAACGCUGUGUCCAAAACCACAUUUUUGAAGCAUGUGGGUCAUGUAUUGCCAAUUUAAAAGAAGACAUGUGGGAUCCUAUUUCUACGAACAACCUUUAAAUCUAGAACAUGUCUCACAUUAUGAGACACUGGUUUGUGAGGGACAAAUCCAGCUUUUUCUCAUGAGAAUAUGUGAGGUAAGGAGGAUUUAAUCUGGUUGGCUAACAUCUUUGCAUAGAUCUUAAUGUCAGCAUUCAAAAUGGAGAUUGCAUAAAAGUUUUCACAAGAAGUGGGUGAUUUAUCUUGUUUUGGAAUAGCUAUUAUAUUAGUUGCUAGCAUCUUCCCUGGUAUAUUACUUUUUUUUAAAAUGAGCUAUAGAGAGCUAUAUGAUGAGGAACCAAGAGAUUGGAAUAGGUACUCUAAUACUAGUUAGAAAGGCCAUCAGGCUUUUAGACAGGGGCGUACCUAGAGCAUUUGGCUACCGGGGCGCAUCCUGUGUUUGGCACCCUUCUCCCUUGCCCACUUUAAAAUGUAAAUAACACCCACAAUAUUUUAAAAAAAUGUUUUCAUUUUUAAAAUUUGCCCAAAUCAGUAAAAACAUUUUUUUUAAAUCCUUUCCUGUGCCCUUCUACAAAACCCCUGUCCUGCCCCUGUUCUACAAAACCCCUGCACCCCCUUCCACAAAUCCCCUGCUCAGCCACCCUUAUACAAAAUAGCUGCCCCCUUCUACAAAACUCCUGCACAUCCCUUCCAUAAACCUCCUGCACCACAUUUCCAAAAAAACCUUCCUCUCUCUCUAAAGCCCCUGCUCAUUCCCUUACAAUAGAAUUUAUUUUUUUAUACAAUAAUAUUAGCAACAAUCUUCAGAGUCCAGCCUUAGAGACAUAGUCACUCGCACACAGUCACACAAACAGUUACAGCAGUGACACAUACAAUUACAAACAGUCUCACACACACACAGUUACAGGCAGGCAGUGACACACACAGUUGCAGACAGACAGUCACACACACACACAUACAGUUACAGGCAGACAGUCAUACACACACUGUUUUACUGUCUGUAACACAGUUACAGGCAGACAGUCACACACACAGUUACAGGCAGACAGUCACACACACACAUACACAUUUACAGUCACAGACAGGCAGUCACACACACACACACACAUUUACAGGCAGACAGUCACGCACACAGUUACAGGCAGAGAGUCACAGGCAGACAGUUACACACACACACACACACACACACACACUUACAGGCAGACAGCCACACAAAGAGAGUCACAGGCAGACAGCCACACACAGUUACAGGUAGACAGUCACACACACUCACACACACACACAGAGUUACAGGCAGACAGUCACACACACACACAGAGUCACAGGAAGACAGUCACAUGCAGAGUUACAGGUAGACAGUCACACACACACACAUAGUUACAGGCAGUCACACACAUACACACUCUCUCACACACACACACACACACAGUUACAGGCAGACAGUCACACACACAUAGUUACAGGAAGACAGUCCCACACACAGAGUCAGACAGUCACACAGUUACAGGCAGGCAGUUUCUCACACACAUUCACAAACACACACCCACAGGCUGACAAUCUCACACACAUACACACUUUCUCUCUCUCUCUCUUACUUACAGACAGUAUGGGCUGGAGGAGGAGUGGAUUCACUGAGGUCCCUCCCUGGAUUCUGUUAGUUGGGGAGGCAGGGACUCCUUCUUGCUUACCCUUGAUGUGCAACAGUAGGAGGCUGUGUUUAGCUCUACGCCUGUCUGUUUUAGCUCCGCCGCCACUUUUUUUACAUGCAGCCUAUUUUCAAGUUCUGCGGACCCUGCGUGUGUGAGCUGUGUCGGCCGCACAUCCUAAGGCCAUCCCUGGUCAUGACACCCAACCUCCCCCCUACCUAGUGGCACCUGGGGCAGACCCAUCCACCCCGCUCCCACUUAGUAUGCCACAGCUUUUAGAAAAGGCAUUUAGAACCAAGAAGGUUUCUUCAGUUGAGAUUGGGAGACCAAGAGAUUUGGCUUAUCCAAAAAUAAGCUUAGGAACUUGAACAUAUUGGUUGAUUCCAUUGACUGAGGGAGUGUGAGUGGUAUGAUCAUUGUUUAGCUGAUGUAUAGCACAGUAACAUGCAUCAACAGUUUUGACUAAUUGGGCAGGAUUAACCUCUUAAGGACACGACAUGUGUGACAUGUCAUAAUUCCCUUUUAUUCCAGAAGUUUUGUCCUUAAGGGGUUAAACACCUUCUCGCCAUCCUGAGAUACAAUAAAGGGAUUUUGUGCCUUUAUUAUUUAGCCAGGUAUUUUCUUGCCUUGUUGUCUUGAGUAAAAUGUGUUAAUUUUAAUUUGUGUAGGAAUCGUUCAUUCUAUAGCAAUUGGAGUGAUUGCAUUUCAUUACAUAGAUCAGCAAUUUUAGAAGCUACUAGAACAACCCUGCUGGAUAAAUUGCCCUCUAAUAUAUGCUUUAUGUGCAAAUCUGGUCAUGGAAACAUUAGUGGAGUUAUAAGAGUUCAGCUGGAAAUAUUUAAUUUGACUGGAGAGAAUUUUUGGAAAUAUUUUUGUCAGGCAACCGAAAUUAAUUUUGUCCCUACCAGAUGCAACAGUUAGAAAUGAAGGAGGUCAGAAUAGGAGUAUAGUCCAACCAAGUAAUAAAACCAAUGUUAGAACUUAGUUGCAAUUUUGGAUUGCAAUGUUUGGGUAUGUUUUGUUGGCCUCAGAGUAAUAAGUAAAGUAACACUCUUCCGGUGCAAGUUCUCACCAUGCGUCUUGAAAGCUGAACAAAUUUGACAAGUCAGUAAAUAUUUUACUCAGUUCUUUUGUUGAAUUAGUUAGUGGUAUGGAAAUUGAGUCUCAGGUGUCAAAGCAAUAAUUUGGGGCACAGUUGCAGUCAUCACAUAGUCUGCUUUGCUUCAUUUGUUGAAUUUUGGUGAAACCGUGUGUAAGAAAAGUAAUUUGAUUGUCAUCAAGGCAGUAAGAAAAUACUUUCAUAAGUAGUUCAUUGUUGAGGGGCCCACUAAAAUUAAAGGUCUACUUUUAUAGCUUUCAUAUUUUUGUGUAAGAUAAAAAGUCCAGUUCUUAUGGAAUAAAAUAGUAACACGUUUGGUUUUGGAACGUGAGCAUGCAUGCUGUUGCAUAAUGCAUGGUGCAUGGUAAGGAUACAAAAUUGGGUUUCUUGGCAGCAGAUAAUUGCAGUUUUGACUAUUGCCUCCCAGAUGGCAUGACGUUUUCACCUUGGAUUCCUGAUACUUCAAUAAAUCCAUCUUGUCUUUCACAUGCUGCAGGUUUUCAGUGCCAGAUGAUACAAAGUANNNNNNNNNNNNNNNNNNNNNNNNNNNNNNNNNNNNNNNNNNNNNNNNNNNNNNNNNNNNNNNNNNNNNNNNNNNNNNNNNNNNNNNNNNNNNNNNNNNNGCCACAUAGCAUCACAGAACCACCACCAUGCUUAAAUGUAGGCAGAGUGUUGUUUUUAGCGUACGCUUCAUUCUUUUUCUUCCAGGCAUUCUGCUGAUCCAUUCCAGUUUUGUUUCAUCUCCACAGAACAGAAUUCCAAAACGUCUGUGGCUUAUUUGUAUGAUUUUGAGCAUAUUGGAAACAACUUUUCUUGUGCUUUUAGGUCAUUAGUGGUGGAUGUCUUCAAGUUCUUGCAUGGAAACCUUCUGUGUUUAGUAUGUCCCUUACUGUGCUUAUUGAAACCUCAGUGCCUGUUUCCUUCAAGUCUUGCUGCAGGUCUUUUGCAGUCACUCAAGGGUUUUACACAACCUGCCUUCUUAAAAAUCUGGUUGCGGCCAUUGAGGGCUUCCUCUUUCUGACCCAUCCAGGAGGUGUAACCAUUGUUCCUACAACUUUGACCUUGCAAACUGUGCUUACAACAGUGUCUCUAUGAACAUCCAGUGCCUUUGCGAUCUUUUUGUAUCCUGUUACUUGUUUGUGAAAUUAUGAUCUAUUCCCUUAACUUUGUUGAUCAUUCUUUUGACUGCCAUAUCUAACAUACAGUCAAACAUGACACUCAGCAAACCCCUAGCCAGUCCAGGUAUUUCAAGUGUUCCAGCUCAAGCACACCAUUCAUGCUAAUGAAGCCCUUGAUAAGUUGCAUCAAGUGUGCUUGAGAUAACACCUGUUUUGCAUAUUGGUGUUGGUGAGAGGGAUUCUAUUCAGGAGGUUGAAUAAUUUUAGACUGGAGAAGUCAUUAUACUUUGGAUUUUCAGUUGAAUUUGGAGAAAGCACUUGAAAUAUUCAUUGUGUUAAGCUAUUUCAAUUGCUUUUGUUUGAUCUUUUUUAAUUGCAAACAGCUGAAAGUGUAAAUUUUGACAAUAAACCUAAUUUUCAAUGGUGGUUGAAUAAUUUUGAUUAUAACUGUAUAACUUAAUGCUGUUGCUUUAAGAAGUAAGGCUUUUUGAGCAACGAAGGCACCCAGCCCCUAGUUGACUGUAAAGGUAGUCUCAGAGUAUUACAGUAGGUGUAAAGAAUUGUCCUUAAAGCAACAUUACCUCCAUCCCUUUUCUAACUCCAAUACAUGUUCAGUUGAGGUGACACCGGUAAAGAGUUUGGGUAGUCCUCAUAAACCAAGUUACAGGACUAGAGAUUUUUCCUUUACCUUGUCAGAGUGAGUAUGGUCCUGAUAGCACAGCCAAAAGUUGGUGUGGCAACUCCAUUGAUAAGAGAUAUUGUGGUUGCAGAGUACCUUGCUGAAUAUCACAAAUUCAUGCCUCUUGGUCAUUGUGCCAGCCGACAGAUCUGCAACAGGGAGAGUCCGUUGUAUGAUUCUGGGAAGGUAUGGAGCUUGCGGGCUACUGCCAUGAGAGACUACUUAAAGGGGUAUGAGUGAAACCUCACACAGACGUCAUGGGGCACUUCAGAUGCCAUGCAACAAUAGUUAGGAAGAUGGUGAUCUCUGUCCAUAUGCCAGUCCAUCUCUAAAUGGUCUGGAAGUAUUGCCUUAAAAAGAGAGAUGAGUUAUGGUUGCAAUACUGCCUGGAAAAUACUCUCUGGCACCCCAUGAAUCCUAAAAAUUCUAAACCCUGGAGCAGUCCUCUCCAUUGGCCACUUUUUGCAGCAGGGUGUUAUUGUUAGCUUCUAAUGAGGUCAGUUUAUCAACAACUCCUUUAUGGGCAUCACAUAAUUCCUCCAGAAAGCCUGCAAAUCCUGGUGGAGGUCUGUGAUCAUGGAUUAAAAAAAUCAGUUUGGAGCAUGGAUCACAAGUCCUUUAUCAUGCAGUGAACCUUGAAUUCUGAAUCUGGGUAGACCUCUGAGAUGCUGUGAGUAUCCAGGAGCUAUAAAUUGGGAAUCAGAUACAGGUAAUAAAAAUGGAUGCAAAAUGGAAUUCAGAUAAUAAGCAAUAAUUAUAUAGACAAGUAUAAUGUUCCGAGUAAUAUGUAGGUUACUUGUUGAUAAAAUGUCUACAGUUGAAAAGUCCAGAAUAAGAUGUAAAACUAAAAUUGCAGAAUGUGGAUAUACAAUCAGUCCCAAGGGAUCUAUGAGUCCUUGAUUUAUAUCAUAAAUGACAUUAGCCCUGCUUGUGAAAACAACACAGGGCUAAUGGUAUCUAUGCCUCUUGAUAUACUUUUAUAUGUAUAAAAGAUAUUUAAAGUCUGUGACCGGGCAUAUUAGUACAAGGAACUAAUUGCCCAAAUUAGAUCUUUGGUAAUGUCAAAGUGAAAAAUAAAGGCAUUGAUACCAUCAGUCCUGUGUUGUUUUCACACGCAGGGCUAAGGUCAUUUAUGAUAUAAAUCAAGGACUCUUAGAUUCCUUGGGACUGAUUGUAUAUUCCACAUUCUGCAAUUUUAGUUUUGCAUCUUAUUCUGGACUUUUCAACUUUAGACAUUUUUAUCAACAAGUAACCUACAUAUUACUCUGAACAUUAUACUUGUCUAUCUCUUUAUUGCUUAUUAUCUGAAUUCCAUUUUGCAUAAAUUUUUAUUACCUGUACCCUACGGCUCUGUGAGGAAUUGUCGGUCAUAAAUGUAGCAGGAGAAGAUCCUCACCUGCUCGAGAAUUUCUGAAGACCUUGUAAGCAUAUGAAGCAUAAGUCCUUUGGGGAGGUCUGGUCGGACGGAGCGCGAUCACCAUUGUGCCUCGACUUAUACUGUGACGAGUGGUAAUAUCCAAAUAAGUCGGCCCCUGUGAGAUGUGUCUCCCCUGGGAGACGGGUUGAUUUUCUGUGAAGAAGACAGGGAUCGAAGGAGGCUACAUGUUGUCUGAUAAACAUAAGUUGGUCCAUCCCGGGGGAUGUGAAACCUGACCACCUAAUCUGUGGUUACCUGCAGUAGGGUGCAGCAGAUCUAGUACUUCUUUAUCAAUCCAUGUAUUGUGAAGUAUAGGACUAAGAAGUCUAGGUAUACAAUGUACAGGGUUGCGAUGGUGCCGUGAAUAGUCUACGAAUCCUCUGAGCGAAUAGUCUUCUACAAGUCUGGAGGUUCCAGCUGGUUCUCGGAUGAACGUGGGUGUUGACGAGUUUUCAUUUCCCUGGAGUGAUCUGAAUGAGGUUCUCCCGGAAGAGAGUGUCUCGUCUUCCCCGCCUGUAUUCAUUACUUCCGAGCUACUGGAUCGGGAAGUAGAGGAUGUCCCCUGGGUAAGGUGGUCUAGUGGGAACUGGGUAAGGUGGUCUAGUGGGAAGAACACAAGUCGGAUGACUACGUGAAAGUGGUCUUCCCUAGGAUUGAGUGCCUUUCACCUAGAUGUGGUGAAAUCCCCUGUGGAUGUAGUAGGAGGUAUAUUGAUUGUAUCUGUGCGUACUGUGUUCUCUGUCCGCUUAUCUGGAGCACCAUUGGUUGACUCUCGCUCUAUAUGGGUAAUAAAGCUAGUGGUAGCGGAUCUCGGGUCAGAUGUCCCGAAGCGGUCGACGACCGGCUCUGUUGCCAACUGGUUCCAAAGAAUCCCUUAUAAAGGUAAUCGCAUAAUACCUCCCUCCUAGGGGUCUAAUAAGUUCCCUUCUGAACUUUGUUCCUUGUGCAUGGGGUUCUGACUAUCUUGGCGCCCAGUACUGCCGACCAUCUGACAGUGCGUAAUGGGCAUCCUAUGGGAGAGGCCAACACUGGGGUUUCCUGCGAGGAGCAGAAACUGUUUUUUUUUUUUUAUAUUUUGUUUUUUAUAUUUGGUUCGUCACCAACGUUACACAUUGUUUACACCAGAUUUGCAACUACAGGGAGUGCAGAAUUAUUAGGCAAGUUGUAUUUUUGAGGAUUAAUUUUAUUAUUGAACAACAACCAUGUUCUCAAUGAACCCAAAAAACUCAUUAAUAUCAAAGCUGAAUAUUUUUGGAAGUAGUUUUUAGUUUGUUUUUAGUUAUAGCUAUGUUGGGGGGAUAUCUGUGUGUGCAGGUGACUAUUACUGUGCAUAAUUAUUAGGCAACUUAACAAAAAACAAAUAUAUACCCACUUCAAUUAUUUAUUAUUACCAGUGAAACCAAUAUAACAUCUCAACAUUCACAAAUAUGCAUUUCUGACAUUCAAAAACAAAACAAAAACAAAUCAGUGACCAAUAUAGCCACCUUUCUUUGCAAGGACACUCAAAAGCCUGCCAUCCAUGGAUUCUGUCAGUGUUUUUGAUCUGUUCACCAUCAACAUUGCGUGCAGCAGCAACCACAGCCUCCCAGACACUGUUCAGAGAGGUGUACUGUUUUCCCUCCUUGUAAAUCUCACAUUUGAUGAUGGACCACGGGUUCUCAAUGGGGUUCAGAUCAGGUGAACAAGGAGGCCAUGUCAUUAGAUUUUCUUCUUUUAUGCCCUUUCUUGCCAGCCACGCUGUGGAGUACUUGGACGCGUGUGAUGGAGCAUUGUCCUGCAUGAAAAUCAUGUUUUUCUUGAAGGAUGCAGACUUCUUCCUGUACCACUGCUUGAAGAAGGUGUCUUCCAGGAACUGGCAGUAGGACUGGGAGUUGAGCUUGACUCCAUCCUCAACCCGAAAAGGCCCCACAAGCUCAUCUUUGAUGAUACCAGCCCAAACAGGUACUCCACCUCCACCUUGCUGGCGUCUGAGUCGGACUGGAGCUCUCUGCCCUUUACCAAUCCAGCCACGGGUCCAUCCAUCUGGCCCAUCAAGACUCACUCUCAUUUCAUCAGUCCAUAAAACCUUAGAAAAAUCAGUCUUGAGAUAUUUCUUGGCCCAGUCUUGGCGUUUCAGCUUGUGUGUCUUGUUCAGUGGUGGUCGUCUUUCAGCCUUUCUUACCUUGGCCAUGUCUCUGAGUAUUGCACACCUUGUGCUUUUGGGCACUCAGUGAUGUUGCAGCUCUGAAAUAUGGCCAAACUGGUGGCAAGUGGCAUCGUGGCAGCUGCACGCUUGACUUUUCUCAGUUCAUGGGCAGUUAUUUUGCGCCUUGGUUUUUCCACACGCUUCUUGCGACCCUGUUGACUAUUUUGAAUGAAACGCUUGAUUGUUCGAUGAUCACGCUUCAGAAGCUUUGCAAUUUUAAGAGUGCUGCAUCCCUCUGCAAGAUAUCUCACUAUUUUUGACUUUUCUGAGCCUGUCAAGUCCUUCUUUUGACCCAUUUUGCCAAAGGAAAGGAAGUUGCCUAAUAAUUAUGCACACCUGAUAUAGGGUGUUGAUGUCAUUAGACCACACCCCUUCUCAUUACAGAGAUGCACAUCACCUAAUAUGCUUAAUUGGUAGUAGGCUUUCGAGCCUAUACAGCUUGGAGUAAGACAACAUGCAUAAAGAGGAUGAUGUGGUCAAAAUACUCAUUUGCCUAAUAAUUCUGCACUCCCUGUAUAAACAAUAGAUAUAUAAUAACAACUAUUAAGCACAGUCAUAUUCCACGAGGAGGGUAGCAUUAUAAACCAUUCCAAGUCAUGCAGGCCUCAAUCUAAUUAGAGAAGGGGAGUAUGAGAUUGACAGAAGUGCGGCGCUAACAACCAGGCCGUCAACUAGUCGAAAAUAUAGCUAUGGUGGUUGCCGUGGGUGGUUGCCGUGGCGGGAGGGGGAGGAGGAGAGGGGUAACAACUGGAUAAAGGUAAGGGUAGGGAGAGAGGUUGAGAUGUCCCUUCACCAGGUUGGGUUCUGUGUUGGCCCGCUUAGGCUUGUUCCCUCAGCUACUGUUACUCAUGUGGAGUUGAGAUUGGGUGGGUUACCCUGUGUUUACUUGCCCUGCUCAUCUGGGGUGGAGUGGUCUGCUGUUCUAGGGCAUUGUGGGCCUCUGUAUCCCAGCCCUGACCAUUUAGACCAGAUCAGGUUGUACUGUGCUAGCGUGCCCUGGAUCGUAUGCGCUAUUUUCUCGAGUUGCUGCGUGUGAUUUACUCUGCUAACUAUCACCGCUAUUUCCGGAGCUGAGGUUGAUUUCCAGAGGGAGGCAAUGCAGUGCUUGGCUGCUAAAGUAAUGUGGGUGGUCAGCACCGCCUCAGGAUGCGUUAGUGAUUUGGGAAGCAUGUGUAGUAGGUACGNNNNNNNNNNNNNNNNNNNNNNNNNNNNNNNNNNNNNNNNNNNNNNNNNNNNNNNNNNNNNNNNNNNNNNNNNNNNNNNNNNNNNNNNNNNNNNNNNNNNCCUCCGGAGUGAAUGGUAUCUUUUUCUGUAUACUACUUUGGAUUAGGGAUUGUACCUGCCCCCAAAAGGUGUGUAAUACAGAGCAUUGCCAGAAUGUAUAACUCAGAGUACCCAUCUGCUUGCAGCAGCGCCAGCAUAUUUGUUGUGCCCAUGGGUAUAUAAGUGCCAGCUUCUGCGGGGUAAGGUACAACCUCAUCUGGAGUUUAUAAGCCACUUCUACAUGAUCUAGGCAGUGUGUGGCUCUUUUUACGAGUGCCAUUGCUGCUAACCAUCUACUCCUAUCUAGUGUGCAGUUGAGUUCAGUUUCCCAGUGCACCAUUUAACUUAACUUAUCAGGUUUGUCCACCCCUAAGUGUUUGCGAUAGCAUAGGGAAAGCGGUUUUGCUUGAGUUUUGCGAUUAUGACACAGUAAGUCUAGUAUGUCUGUCUCUCCGAUAUCGGGCGCUGCUUGAGUGACUCCCUGUACUAUGUGCUUAAUACGUAGGUAUGUGAAGAGUUCCCUACCAGUGAGGAGGAAAGUUCGCUGAAGUUCAGGGAACUGCCUGAUCUCCUUGCCCUCCAUGAGUUGGGACACCCUCACUAUUCCCCUCUCUGUCCAUUUUUCUAGAGCCAGGUCGUGUGUGAGGUACUUUAGGCUAGUCAUGGGGGCAUACAUCAUCAGAGGUUGGCUAGCAGUUUUGGGGCCCACUUGUGUCAUGUGCGGAGAGAGGUAUUGUGUGGGUGUGAUUUGGGUGGGACCCAGAGUAGGUCCAAUAGACCGUGGGGCGUAAUGCUUGCGGUUUCUAGCUGAUACCACAGGGGGCAUCUUGGGGUCAGCAGCAACCAUGCUGUUUGGGAUAGGUUUGUGGCUAUAUAGUAUUUGGAAAUGUUGGGUACACCCAGUCCCCCACCCCCCAUGACCAGGGUUGUGCUUGCUGUAGAAACCCUUGGUGGUUUCUUCUUCCAUAUAUGCACAUUUAACAGACGCUGGAAUCGUUGCAGUAGCACCUUUGGAAUCUCAAUAGGGAGGGCCCUGAAGAGGAAUAGUAUUUGUGGGAGUAUGAUCAUCUUUAUGGAGUUUAUCCGUCCCAGCCAUGAAGUGUUCUUAGCCCCCCAGCUCUCCAGCAGCGUCUCCGUUUUAGUUAGUAAGGUGUCAUGGUUGUGUCGGAGUAGGCGGCGUUGCGAGGGUGCUAAUUUUGUGCCUAUGUAGGAGAGAGUAUCUUUUCGCCAGUCAAACGGAUGUUGGNNNNNNNNNNNNNNNNNNNNNNNNNNNNNNNNNNNNNNNNNNNNNNNNNNNNNNNNNNNNNNNNNNNNNNNNNNNNNNNNNNNNNNNNNNNNNNNNNNNNAUUUGCAGAGUUCCAUAUAUACUUUAUUUGGGGCAACAGGAGGCACAAGAUUUAUAGAAAGGUUUUGUACCUUCCCAUGGUGAGGGGCGGGGGGUAGCUAAUGCUCUUAAAUCUUCUAUUGUAUUAUUGGUUUGCCCAACUGGCAUAACUGGCUCUUUGGCAAUCAACUGCUGAGGAAUGUAGGUGGCUAGAUUUGGAAGCUUGCAUCAUGGCUUCUGAUUUGCUCCAAUUUUAUAUGUGGCAAUUAUAUAUGUGAUUGGAUAGGUUUUCUCUUGUCUUCUCCAUGACUCAUUUCCUUACAGAAAAGAUUUACCCCAGGGCAUGUGUCCUAGGGACAUUGGUGGACUAGAGAAUGUCGCCCUUUGGAGGUUGCAUCAGUUAUACCAGGGUGGUUCUAUAGUUCUCUCCUCAGAACUUAAAAGAACAUAAACAUGUAUUCCUGAACUUAUAGUGUUAAAACCACCAUCUACUCCCCUACCAUCCCCCUGUUACCUUUCUAAUCUUACAUUGAUUCCACUCUGCUGCUGCUGGCUCUGCAUAUGAUCUGUCUGCUUGGCUGACAUCAUCAGAAGUGUCUAUUAAAGACAACCAUAAUGUUUUUCUAUAGGAAAGCAUUGUAUUGGCUGAGAGUGUCAAGGAGGCAGGUCAGAGUCAGAACCAGCACAAGCUAAACACAGAUCACAGAUAGAAAUGCAUUGAAUCAAUGCAGCUAUAUGAGAAAAGUUCAGUGUCUGCAUGCAUAGGGUGGAAACACAGAAUGACAGUGCUGCACACUGUGCAGCCCUGCCCCAGGAAGCACCUCUAGUAGCCAUAUGAGGAGUGACCAGUGGAGGUAUCCUUAGGUUGUAACGUAAACAGUGAAUUUUCUCUGAAAACACAGUGUAUACUGCAAAAAGCCUGAAGGGAAUGAUUAUACUCACCAGAACAAAUACAAUAAGCUGUAGUUGUUCUGGUGACUAUAGUGUCUUUUAAGAAGCUGGCUCCACUCUCUUACUAUAGAUAUUUACAGCUUAGGAACUGUGCCUGUCUGUAAAUGUAACAUUUCUAUAUUACUAUUAACAAACCAAAAAUAUAAUUUUAUGAGAAGAUAUUGAUUCUUUUAGCUCACCUGUGAAAUCUCAAGUUAGGUUCAAUUUGUGUGAAGGCAAAUUACAAACUUUAAAGGAUUACUAUAGUGUCAGUUUGGACUAUAUAAUCCUUAGGGACCCCCUCCCUCAGAGCCUCCCUCCAGCUGAGCUGACGGGGUUAAAACCCCUUUAGCCACUUACCUUUAUUUAGCACCGGGCUCCCUCAGUGCUGGUGACCUCUCCUCCUCUAUAGACGCCAGCUCCAGAGUGGAGCUGAAUCCGCAUGCACGGCCAGAGCCUUGCGCGCCUUAAAAACACCCAUAGGAAAGCCAUUCUCUAUCCUAUGGACGUUCUGCGUGCUCAAUGCAAUUUUUGACAUUGAGGGUUGGGCAAGCGCCUCUAGCGGCUGUCAAGAAGACAGCCACUAGAGGCUGGAUUAACCCUGAAGUGUAAACAUAGCAGUUUCUCUGAAACUUCUAUGUUUAAAUCUGAAGGGUUAAAACCUGGGGGACCUGGCACCCAGACCACUUCAUUAAGGUGAAGUGGUCUGGGUGACUAUAGUGGUCCUUUAAUUCAAUAAAAUAAACUCUUUUUAUAUGUCAAGUUAUGUUUUUUUUCUAAAAACAACAAUAUAAGUUGCAUAAUUCAAUUGCAACACUUUCCUAACUUUUGAAAAACCCGUGAGAUAAAAAAAAAAAAAAAAUACGCUGUGGGAAAAUCUACAAACUACUAAUAUGAAAACAGAAACUAUACUUUACUGGUUGGGGAUUUUUCUUUAUUAUGUAAUUAAAUGUAAAUUUCAAAUAUAUUUAUAUAUUUAUAUUUUAAAAUGGGAUACAAGCCACUUAAAAAGUUAAGGAGCUGUACUGAAGAUAAAAGUGAAAAUUAUAGAUGCACUUUUAAUUAAAAAACUCUAUACGGUAGAAGCUACCAUAUAGGUUCCAUAAUAUGUGAGAACAUUUUUAUCUUAAUUUAUCUUAUGUACAGUUAGAUCCGGAAAUAUUUGGAUACUAAUACAUUUUCCAUAAUUUUGUCUCUGUAUGUCAUCACAAUGGAUUUGAAACAACCAAAAUGCAAUUGAAGUACGGACCUUCAACUUUAAUUCAAGAGGUUGAACAAAAAUAUUAUAUGAAUCAUUUAGGAAUUGCAACCAAAGAAAAAAAAUAAGGAAGUGAAACCAUUUUCAUACUGUCAUGGUACCUGUUGUGUCUGCCUCAGAAGAGGUCAGGCAUCUGGACAUUGUCCCUCGGGAUGGGGCAUGUGCACCUGAUUCUUUCAGUCAUUUCGGCCAUUUACAAGCCGGCCCAAUAGCCCUGCCUCCUUUUAAGACACGGCGCUCGGUAGCCGACGUCAUGACGUCAAUGACGUCAUGAACCUCCAAAGACUUUGAAUCAGGACAUUUUGGGGGCGUGGUCAUCAAUUAAGGAACCAAGGUAUAAAAGAGACUCAUUUGCAAUGAGACGUUGCCCUGUCGUGGUUCUAGCUUGUCUGGUCCCUCAGUGCUCUUCUUACUAUUGUUUAUUUGGUUCUUGACUUGGCUUUUUCUUAUCGACUUUGCUACCUUCUUCUACCUAUGUACUCGGCUUGGCUUUCGCUUACCGGUCUUCUCGUUUCCUCGACCUCGGCUUGUCCCUGACCAUUCUUUGUCUUGUCUGACGUUAGUCUGGCCAUUCUAAGGUCCGGUAUACGUACCUUUUGCUGUUAGCAUUCUGCGUGUUGGAUCCCUGUCACAAUCCUGACACAUACACAGUGCCCUUAUUUCAGGGGCUCAAAUGUCAUUGAAAAAAUGAAUACAAUCAUAAAUAUAAUGUCAAUUUUUAAUACUUUGUUUAAAAUCAUUCGUAGGCAAUGACUGCUUGAAGUCUGAAACACAUGGACAUCACCAAAUGCGGGGUUUCCUCCUUUGUGAUGCUUUGAGACGCCUUUACUACAGCUGUCUUUAUGCCUGAAGUUUUGUCUUCAACAAGUGAAAUGCAUGCUUAAUCGGGUUGAGAUUACCUGACUCACUCAACGUUGCAGAAUAUUCCACUUCUUUGCCUUAAAACCUACUGGGUUGCUACAAAUGAUGUAGUAUGCUUUAGAUCAUGAGCCAUUCCAAGCUUACUCCAUUCUUCCCAUAUUUCUGGUAUAGGUUGAUCUUAGUUUAACCUGUCCAAAGAAUGCUGUUCAAGAACUGGGCAAGCUUUUUUUAGAUUUUUUUUUGGCAAAGUUUAAUCUGGCCUUUGUAUUCUUGAGGUUUAUGAACGGUUUGCACCUUCUUCACUUGACUUUAUGUUGUGAAGUUUUAGUUUGUUUUGCUUUACCAUGGAGAGAAUCCUAUUAUCAUUUGCAACUGUUUUCCUUGGACAUCCAGGCCUUUUGUGUUUUAGACUUUACCAGUACUUUCUUGUACUACUACUUUUUUUGCAGCAUAAGGACAGCCUGUUUCACUUGCAUUGAGAGCUGCUUUGACUACAUGUUGUUGGGUUAACAGAAUCAGCUAACAAAUGUGAAUGCCAAACCUGGAAUUAACACCAGAACUUUUAUCUGCUUGAUUGAAAGGAAAUGAUGAAGAAAUAGCCUACACCUGUCCAUUAAACAGCUUUUGAGUCAAUUGUCGAAUUACUUUUGGUCCCUUGAAAAAGAGCUGUCUACAUAGUAAAGACCUGUAAUUCCUAAACCCCUUCCUCCAAUGUGAAUGUAAAUACCCUCACAUUAAAGAGAGAAUGCACGUUAAGCCCAUAUUAAUUAUUUAACUAUAACGUUAACUUAUUUUGGUAAACAUUCAAAAUAACAAAACUUGUGCCAGUGUUCAAAAAUUUCCAGACCUGGCUGUACAUUAUUCUGAUAUAUUGCACUAUAUUAGUCUAUCUGCGUGUUUUUAUUUGAUAUAAAUUUGAUACUGGGGGAUGGGACCUUAAAGCAAUGUCCAAGAGAUUAUCUUUUUGCCCUACUUCUCAAUAUAAUUAAUUUGAUUUGUCUCUAAGUGUAGAAAUAUUCUUGAGAAAGGUUAACUUGACAGUUUACUUCAGGGAGAACAGAUAAUUCACCUCAGAUGUCAGAGACUCUGGUUGCUAUAGAUUUUGAUUUGAGGAAUCAGAGUAACUUUUGUCCUCCUUUGGCACCUGAGGUCGCACUUUUUAUAACUUAAUCAAGAGAGGCAUUAUGUGUCUUACCUACGUUCAUGAAACCUGCCCUAACGAUCCAACGCCUAUCAUCUUAAAGGAGAUUCAUACCAUUGUUGAUGAGGCGUUAUCUGAAGACAUUAUUGACAAAAUCUUAAUCUGUAUGGUAAGAGUUCUCAUCAAAGGAUAUCCUGUUAUGCCAACAUUUUAUGUAUUUUAUGUAUUGCCAAAAAUCCAUAAGGGAAUGAGGGACCCACGUGAAAGACCAAUUGUGGUGAGCAGUGAUUUUUCACUACAGCCACUCUCGACUCUUAUAGCCCUUUGUGAGCAAAUCUAAAUCUUACAUAUUGAAUAGCAGUGAUGACUUGCUCAAAUUUACUACUGCAAGUGACUUGGUUUAUAUAAACUGGGAGAGUCUGUCAGGUUGCUGAUAUAUGAUUUGGGGGGUAACCCCUAAUUGAAAUAUAUACACAAAAUAUAUAUGUACGAGCAAAGGGAGGAUCGGAGGUAAACAAUAGCUCAUAUUUCAGAAGCCUAACCUUCCAAGAUAGAAAGCAACCCUUUAGAAGAUCGUUAAAACAUAAACUUUAUUAAAUAAAGUAUAACACCCAAUGUGUCAAGGUAUAUCUAAUGUAACAGUAAUAUAGGCUUAAGCAGGCUAUGAAAAUACCAGAAAUCCUCUAUUAAUGGAGAAAAAUAAUAAAAUAAAAUGGAAACAAAAAAGGAAAGGAUAAUAGGUCAGAUAUCUAAAAGUAACAACUUUGCCAACCAAAACCAAAGUUCUAAGUCAGCUGCUAAAGUUGGAUAAUAUCCUAGAAAAAAAAGGAGGGAGAUGAAACAAAAAAUAACUAAAAAAACAUAGAUAAAGACUAAUGUAGCAGUUAGAAUAGUAAUAUGGGAGGGAGGGUGUCCUGCCUGUUAUUGUAACAGACAGAAAGUCAAAUAACUACAGAGUAGAAGGAGGGGAGAGAAAUAAACAGCAAUAAGGAUAGGAAAAAGCGAUAAAGAGAAUUUCACUAUCACCUAAUGUGCCUUCGUGGGAACCCCUUGAAAAAUCUAAACCCUCCCGUCCUCCCAAAAUCAGAGAACCCGUAGGUAAUUAAAAGAAAGAGAAAAACCCACCCCACACACCAACAGCUACCCGAUAAUUAAUUAAAUAAAUAAAGUCAUACUAAAAUCUAGUGUGGUGGCUAUCUACUGAUUCAAAUUAUGCUGCAGCAUCAUCUCUUUUCUUACUGCCGACUACUGCUCUAAACUGUCCUCAUGCGCAUUUCGCCAAAUAAUGGCUCUUCCAGGGGAAACAAGUCAUUUAAAUCUCCCGCCUCUGUCUACGGUUGGAUGAUGAUUCCACCAACCGGACAGAAGGUGACAUGAGGGAAGUUAUUAACCCAUUACGAUAUAGAUAAUCUUAAGAGACUGAAAUAAUUGAAUAAAUUAUAAUUUUAUUAUAUAUAUAUAAUUAUAAUUUUCUUAGUGAAAGAUAGAAUUCAAAGAGUAACACUUGUAAACCUCUUAUUAAUUUGGUGUACCCUUAGGUGACAAUAUACAUAAGAUCGAGGAGAAAAUAUUAUUUUACCGAGUGUAUUUAUGGUACUACUUUUUUAUAGUAGUAAGUUCUUUAUACUCACUGAUGUUGAAAUAAAGGGUAAAGCGUCUUUGCCUUGAUGAUACAGAAGUUUGAAAAGAUUCAUAAUAGCUAAAUCUUAUAUAUUGUAUACCUCUUAGUGAAAGUUGAGAUAUGAGAUAAAUUCAGCGUAUCUUAGAAACGGACCUAUGUUCUAUAUAUGAACAGGCUAGUUGCAGGCUAGAAGGGGUAACUAUCAAGUCUGCUUAUAUGUAGCCUCUGUUAUUGUAAUGUUUGCUAGCUAAGUCGUAUCAAUCAUAUAGUAUCCAUUAGUUGCCCUUGUGUGUGUGUGUGUGUGUGUAUGUAUAUAUAUAUAUAUAUAUUUACAUAUAUAUAUAUAUAUUAGUUGCCCUUGUGUGUGUAUGCGUAUAUAUAUAAUAACAAACCAUCUAUUUUACAGGUAGGAUUUUGUCACAGAUCUUACAGUAACCACAGCCUUCUAGGGCAGGCAUAGGCAACCUUUGGCACUCCAGAUGUUUUGGACUACACCUCCCAUGAUGCUUUACCAGCAUUAUAGGUGUAAGAGCAUUAUGGGGGAUUUAGUCCACAACAUCUGGAGUGCCGAAGGUUGCCUGUCCCUGUUCUAGGGUAAUCAAAGUCCAGGACACAUCCAGUUCAGUUUUCCUUUUUAUUUGAUAAGAAAACAGGUGCUUUUAAUAACCAAAUAAAAUUCCUUGCUCUUACUUGAGUGCUUACUAGACAGAAAUAACUAUCUAUAAUUGGGUGGCUUUCACAUUUACCAAUUUUCAAAAAAAACUAAAUAGAUUUGCAAUAAACAUAGUUGUUCUCUCUCCUUCAGCUCUCUGAGCUGGCUUUUUCUCCCUCACCCUGCAGCAGGCUAAUCUCUCUUUUAAAGGACUGCCUGCUAAUUGACCAGCUGCAGGUGAGUGUCAAUUAGUUAACUCUUAGGUUAAAUCCAAAUUCUGGUCUGUAACACAGCAACUAGUGCUGUUGGAGCACUGGCCCACCCUGAUCUCCAAAUGCUCCGCCCCAGGGACUCACACCGUGUUUUGCAGAGCAUCAGCAAUGAAUAUUGCAAACUUAACAUCUCUCUCUGGGGCAUUUAACUGAAAAUUCUCUGGCUGCUGUUUAGCAAAGCAGGUCUGAUAUAUCUGCCUUCAACAACCAUUAUAUAUAUAUAUUAUACACCAUUAUGCAGAUCAUCAGGUAAGAAAUGAAUUAAAAAAUGCUAUUCAAUUUAAUGCAGUAUCAUAAAGAUGUGAUACAAAAUGCUGGCUGAAUCGGUGGUAUGGUGUGCUUCUAACUGACGACAGAUAAGCUACUUUUUGUAGCUCUCUGUAAAGUUAAAUUUGUACCAUGAUCGAUGGUCUGUAUACACGGAUACAAUGUACCUAAUGAUAUCAGUGUAGUCAUAUAGUAUCGUAGAAUCAAUAAUGACCAAAUAUCACUAUCCCUGAAUAAAAAAUUACUUAAAGGGACACUAUAGUCGCCUGAACAAUUUUAGCUUAAUGAAGCAGUUUUGGUGUAUAGAAGAUGCCCCUGCAGCCUCACUGCUCAAUCCUCUUCCAUUUAGGAGUUAAAUCCCUUUGUUUAUGAACCCUAGUCACACCUCCCUGCAUGUGACUUGCACAGCCUUCCAUAAACACUUCCUGUAAAGAGAGCCCUAUUUAGGCUUUCUUUAUUGCAAGUUCUGUUUAAUUGAGAUUUUCUUAUCCACUGCUAUGUUAAUAGCUUGCUAGACCCUGCAAGAGCCUCCUGUAUGUGAUUAAAGUUCAAUUUAGAGAUUGAGAUACAAUUAUUUAAGGUAAAUUACAUCUGUUUGAAAGUGUAACCAGUUUUUUUUUUCAUGCAGGCUCUGUCAAUCAUAGCCAGGGGAGGUGUGGCUAGGGCUGCAUAGACAGAAACAAAGUGAUUUAUCUCCUAAAUGACAGUGAAUUGAGCAGUGAAAUUGCAGGGGAAUGAUCUAUACACUAAAACUGCUUUAUUUGGCUAAAGUAAUUUAGGUGACUAUAGUGUUCCUUUUUUGUUUCCAGUUGAUUUUAUUUUAUUGUUUUCCCGUUAAUAGGGGAUUUGUUGUAUUUUCAUAGCCUGCUUAAGUCUAUAUUACUGUUACAUUAGAUAUACCUUGUCACAUUAGGCGUUUUACUUUAUUUAAUACAGGUUAUGUUUUAACGAUCUUCUAAUGGGUUGCUUUCUAUCUUGGAAAGGUUAGGCUUGUGAGGUAUGAGAAAUGUUUACUCCGAUCCUCCCUUCUCCUUCGCUCCUACUUAUAUAUGACUAUUACAAGUGGUUGAGAGGCAAAGAGAUGGGCACUUAUAUGGCCCUAUUGUAUGCCAAUCUUUUUAUGGAUGAUUUCAAAACUGGAUACAUUUAUGUACAUGAUUUGUUUUUUGCACAUGCAUGUGUCUGGUGGAGAUUCAUUGGUGACAUCUUUGGCAUUUGGUAUGGCACUAAGGAAGAACUAGGGACCUUCUUUGCAGACAUGAAUAUGGUGUGUACAAAGAUCCAGUUCACUACGGAGAGCAGUGAGACUGCAAUCACGUUUCUGGACCUUAAAAUCACAUGUGAGGGAAUGGGUUUCUCCACAGACAUGUAUUCCAAACCCACAGAUAGGAAUAGUAUACUGGAGUACAACAGUUUUCACCCUUGAGGAAUUAUUCAGUCCCUACCAUGCAUUCAAUUUAUCCCAGCACCAGACAAAUGUCUACAGCACCUUGAGGAGAUUAACUUUAAAUGUAAUAUUUGUGGCUAUCCCACCACAUUACUUGAUUCUGAGAAGGACAAAGUCUUUAGGAUAGAGAGACUCCCUCCUAAAAUUCUAAACGGAAAUGUUGAAGGAUCAUGUGAGGAUACCUUUUGUGUCCUGAUUUAACCCUAUGAGUAAAGUUACUUGCAUAUUAUUCCAAAUCCCUAUGCAUAUAUAACUAAAUGUAGGUUUUUUGCUCAACUCCAUAGGCCUUUCGAUGUAAGCCCACCUUCCACUUCAAGGCAAACACUCUACAGUAAGGGAGUUACUGUAUGUGAGGAUUAAAUUCAUAAAUUAUUAUAUCAACAGUUAUACAAAAAUAAGUCCUGUGCUUUCACUCCCACUACUCCUGGGUGGCAGCAAUGACCAUAGUACACAUCAGCCCUAAUACAUACAUUAAAAACCAAAGAAAAAAGUUACUUGCACACUAUUCCAAAUUUGUAUGCAUAUUUAAAUAAAUUGAGGUUUUUAGUUCCACUCCAAUGGCUAUUAGAUGUAAGCCCACCUGCCACGUCAAGGAAAACCUCAUAGGUGGGUCCUACACUAAUAAUUUACCUUGCUUGCUUAAGCUUCAGGCAAAAAACAUCUCUAAUUAUAUAGAGAGUGGUAUUUUUUUCAAACCCCUACAUACUUAUUAACCCUUAAUAAGGAACACAUGGGAUUGUCGGCAGCACUGUAACAUGGCUGUAUGACACAAAAGCUAUUUUUUGUGUAGCUGUUGAUAUAAUUAUUUAUGGAUACAAAAAAAUCAAGUCCUGUGCUCAAACUCCCACCACUCCUGGGCUGCAGCAAUGGCCAUAGUACACAUCAGCCCCAAUACAUACAGUAAAAACCAAAGAAAAAAGUCACCUGCACUCUACCCAAAUCCCUAUGCAUAUUUAAACAAAUGAAGGUUAUUUAGUUUCUCCAAUGGCCAUGAGAGACUUUAGCCCACCUGCCACGUCAAGGCAAACCUCUCAUGUGGGUCCUACACUAAUCUUUCACCUUGCUUCCUUGAGCUUCUGGCAAAGAUAUCUCUAAUGAGACAGAAAGGGGUAUUUUUUAUAUACAACCCUAUAUGUCUAUUAACUCCUAAAGGAACACAUGGAAUGGGCGGCAAGCAUGGGAUUCUGGCGGCAAGCUAACCACGGGAAAAUACGGAGCCCCUCCAUAUAUUCCUGUGGUUAGAUUGUCACCAGAAUACAAGAUUAAGAUAUUCUGUUCACAUCAUCUAUAUUUACCUUAAUCGAAACGACCGUAGAUUUUUUUAUCCAACCCGGGAAAUUUGAUAGAUAUCUAUAGACUGCUCUGUAAUGAAAGCUAGUACUAGCUUGGAUUCUAACACAGGUGCCCUUGAAUGCACAGAUUAGGACGUUUCCAGAGCAGUCCUCUGAUACUCUUUAUUCAUUUAUUUACCUCAGUUAUUUUACCACCGCUCUGUAGUGACAGUUAAAACUAGUCUCUAAUCAACAUAGGGACCCUUGAAGGUACAGAUUAGAACAAGUUCCAUAGCGGACCUCCAAUAUUUUUGUGUUUAUUUUCAUGCUCAAGUUUCUUAAUUAGUUAUACUAUUUCUUUGUUGUCUAUCUACAAGUUGUAUUUAGGUAUUAAGGUUUCAGCACUGCUUAGUCGAGGGUUCCUCCUGGCUAGCAUUACAGCAGAGUACAAAUAUACUAUGUUACAAUUUCUACCAAUACAUGUUAUUGUGUUGGUGUAACAGUGCUACUAUUUAUACCAAUACAGUUAGUGACAGAUAGAACUCGUUGCAAAUCAAGCACAGGUGCCCGUGAAGGCAAAGAUCAGCAUAAGUUCCAUAACAGAUUUUCGAUAUUCCUGCAUCUACUCAGGGCCGGCGCUACCUGUUAGGCGGACUAGGCAGCCGCCUAGGGCGCCCCUUGGGAGGGGGCGCCGCCAGGUGCGCCGGCCCUGCUCAUGCUGCAGCCGCCCGAGCGCUCUGUAAAGAACCUCAGGCGGCUGCAGCUUUGCCCGGGCGGUGCGUCCAUGAGGGCGGACCGCACCGCCCGGGCGCAGCCUGAGGAGAGGCUGACAGGAGGGAAGCGCUCAGCGCUCCCUCCUGUCAGCUCCCUCACUGUAGCGUGGCCGAGCCCUGUAUGGCAUGGUCCGACCGGUACAGAGAGCAGCUGUCUCCUGUACCCGGCCGGACUAACAGGAAGUGAACACUGAGUGUUCACUUCCUGUUAGUCCGGCCGGGUACAGGAAACAACAGCUCCCUGUACCCGCGGACUAUACUAGGCUCGGACACGCUACUACACAGGUAAGGGGGAGGGGAGAAGAAAGAAACAGAGAGGGAGGGAGGGGGGAGAAGAAACAAACAGAGAGGGAGGGAGGGNNNNNNNNNNNNNNNNNNNNNNNNNNNNNNNNNNNNNNNNNNNNNNNNNNNNNNNNNNNNNNNNNNNNNNNNNNNNNNNNNNNNNNNNNNNNNNNNNNNNGGAGGGAGGGGGAAGAAAGAGGGAGGGAGGGGGGAGAAGGAAACAGGUAGGGAGGGAGGGGGGAGAAGGAAACAGGUAGGGAGGGAGGGGGAGAAGGAAACAGGGAAGGAGGGGGAAGAAAGAAACAGGGAGGGGAGGGGGGAAGAAAUAAACUGACGGGAGGGGGGAGAAAGAAACUAACAGGGAGGUGGGGGGAAGAAACUAACAGGGGGGGAACUAACAGGGAGGGGGGAGACAUUGACAGGGAGGGGAAUUGACGGGGAGAGAGAAAUUGACAGGGAGGGGGGAGUGACAGGGGAGGGAGGGGGAAUGAGAGUAACAAGGGAGGGGGGGGAGAAGAGAGUGACAAGGGAGGGGGGAGAGAUUGACAUCCAUCACACACACACACACAAUCACAAACAAUGCACCCCUUACACACAAAGACAAUGAACCCCUUGCACACAGAAAAACACACAAUGCAUUACACACACAAUGCAUUACACACACACACGCAAUGCAACCCUUACACACAAUGCAUCCCUUACACAAUCAGAAACACACAAUGCAUUCCUUACACACACUCAAUGCACCCCUUAAACACACUCAAAGCACCCCUUACAGACACACACUUCAUCCCUUACAUACACAGAAACACACCUUGCAGCCCUUACACAUACAAACACAGAUUCACACAAUGCAUUCCUUACACACAAAUCAGUACAUCCCCUACACACUCCACCCCCUGUGAACAAACUCAUUGGUGGAACAUGAAGGUGGACCCUGGGACCCAGACCUUGAGCUGUGUAAAGGGCUCCCCAAAAAUGGAGCUGCUUCCCGUUCUCCCAGAACAUUGAUUUUUGUGACCACAGUUACAAACAGCCUCCAGAGAUCCUGUUAUACACCAGACCAGUGGAGCCAGACUGCAGCUAGAGCCCAUCAUCAUCCUCAUCUGCUUGUAAGUAGGUAAUCUAGUAUAUUAUUCGUGGCACUAAUCUCUAAUUUACCUUACCUCACAUUAAAGAAACACUAUAGUCCCCAGAACCACUGCAGCUUAAUGUAGUGGUCCUGGUGUCUAUAGCCUGUCCCUGCAGGCCUUUUAAUGUAAACACAGCGGCACUGCAGCACUAGCGUUAGUUAACAUGGCAGGUCAUAUGGGUGGGGCAUUGUGAUGUCACGAGGGGGGGGGGGCGGCAAACUUUACUUUUGCCUAGGGCGGCAAAAAUCCUUGCACCGGCCCUGCUCUCAUCCCAUCGUUUGCCCAGUCCCUUUUCACCUUAUCUGAUCUCUCUCCUCUAGUCUUGUACCAUCAUUAAUGCACAUCUUCAACUGCUCUCUUUCUUCUGGUAUUGUUCCUGCUCCCCUUAAACAUGUUACAGUUGUACCCAUCCUAAAAAAGCCAUCUCUUGACCCGUUUUCCUCUUCCAAUUAUUGUCCCAUAUCCCUGCUCCCUUUUUCUUCAAAGCUCCUGGAAAGACUUGUCUUUAGCCAUUUGGCUUGCUUGUUAAAUUCCAACUCUAUCCUUGGCCCCCCUAAAUCUGGUUUCUGCUUCCUACUUUCUCCGACACUGCUCUGACUAAAGUUACAAAUUACCUAAUCACACCUAAAGCCAAAAGCCACUACUCCAUACUAAUUCUUCUUGACCUCUCUGCCACCUUUGACACUGUUGAUGAUGUCCUCCUUCUCCAAAUUCUUCUCCAAAGUCUCUAUGACACUGUAUUCUUGUGGGUUUCCUCCUAUCUCUCCCAAUAUUCAUUCAGUGUCUACUUUUCCAAUGACGCUCCUCCCCUCAUCCUCUCUCGGUUGGAGUCCCCCAAGGCUUUGUUCUUGGUCUUCUUCUGUUCUCUCUUUAUACUACCUCUAUUGACAAACUCAUGAAUGCCUUUGGAUCCAGCUACCAUCUGUAUGCUGAUAUCACCCAGAUAUAUCUCUCCUCCACUGAUCUCUUCCCCGCUGACCUAUAACAUGACACUGUUUGCCUUUCUUCAAUCUCUGACUGGAUCUCCUCCCACUUUCUGAAACUCAAGCUGUCUAAAACAGAGCUUUUUAUUUUUCCUCUUUAUAAUACUGAUCCUCCUCUUUUGCUUUCCCUGCAAGUUGAUGGUACCUGCAUCAGUCCAUCCUUGCAAGCUCACUGUCUUGGUGCUAUCUUUGAUCCUGUCCUCACUUUUGUACCUCAUAGCUAGUCUGUUGCUUUAACCUGUCAAUUCCACCUUAACAACAUUGCUCGCAUCCGCACCUUUCUUACUCAAGAUGCUGCCUAGGAGCUUGUUCUCUCUGCUCUGCCAGGGGCCUUCACAAUGACCGCUGCUCACACCUUUACUACUAACUUGCGCUUGGGGGACUUUUUAUGGGCGUCUUCUUUCCUUUUGAACAGCCUACCUAUCCCCAUCAUGUAGCGUAUUACACCAGAAGAAAUAUAGACAGUUAAGAAGGUCCCUAAACCAGUCCUUAGAAUGGCCGGAUAGAUAGAAUAAAAUACAAGGAACGUCAGAACGAGCCAAGGUCAAGGAAGCCAGAAAUACACAGAUUUAAGAGACAAAACCGAGUCAGGGGAGCCAGAAAACAAAGUAGUCAAGAGCAAGCUGGGUCAAUACCAAAAUAUACAAAACUGACGAAAGAACAUAUUAUUGGGACUAUAGUGACACUAGGAACCACAACAGGGCACUGUGCCUUGGGCAGACUGAAAUUCUAUAUGGUUGUGGGCUUGAUUAACAUAGCCAAAACCCCAAAAGGUGCGAGUGUGCUGAGCUCUAUUGAUUAGAGCUCCUCUGAUGUCAUGACACCAGCAUGCAUUUGCCGCGUCACAGAAAGGGGCAGGCGCAUUGCGACCAGCGGCCAUGAGGCUUACCGGAGUCUCAUUAUGUGUGAGAUCGGCAGUCCGUGGAAUCAGAGUGUCGGCUUUUAUCCAGACCACCUGGAUAAGUACAAGUGGGCUGACAGAUUAGACACUCCCCUAUUCUUCAAUUGUUUAAGACAUCUUUCAAAACCCAUAUGUUCAAAAAUGCUUAUGGCCUCCUAGAGUAAUUCUAUAUCACAAAUGUGUCUCUUGCUCUGUCCUAAAGAACUACCCUCCACUCUAACCGCCAAUUCUCCUACUUUUCCACCUUUUUGUUUGCUUUCCCGCUUGAUGCCCUUCCUAUUGUGUCUUUAUACUCCACUCCUCUAGACCAUAAGCUUGUUUAAGCAGAGUCCUCAUCUACCUAUUGUUCCUGUAUCAUUUUGUUUUUGUCUCAUUUGCUGAUAAAUUUCCCCCUUUCAUAAUAUUGUAAAGCACUGCGGAACAAGUUGGCAUAUUAUAUAAUAAUAUAUAUACCACCAUAGAAAAGGAGGCACACAGAAUGUCCAACAAUCCCUGAUACAACUUGGAUACCCGGAGAUUUAACCGGCCCUGAAAUGCCCCCAUUUAUGGCAAAACCUGGAAACCACCAUUUCGGUUUCUGAGCAAAUAAAUUAGGUAAACCUGGUCCUGAUAGACAACAUGUUUGAAAAUAUGGCUACAGAAACAAACACAUAUGCUAGUCAGUAUCUGUCAGCUAGUCCACUGUUAUAACAAAGAACGUCUCGCACUCUACAUAAACCACAUACUUUCCUACUUGCACAACCACCCCAUGAUUAAUUGCCCUCUUUAUUUAAGGAAAGGAAUAUUUAAGGAAUUUAAGGGAAGAUUGCUGUUUAAGCAACAUAUUCCAUCUAAGCAAAUUUAUAAAUUAUGCAAAUGCCUACCAGUUAUAUCUGGGAAUUUCACAUUUAUGAAUGGAAAGAUAGUCAUCUCAAUCCACCAGGAUUCCCUGAUUCUGUGGGAGCAAAUGGCAAGAUUGCGUGGUAUCUCUUCCUGGCUUUGCUGAACAAAGGCUACCAUCUAGGGGUCAACAAUUAUUAAAUCAGCAUAGAUUUGUUCAAAAAUAUAUUUUUCUUUGACAGAUUUUCUGUGGCACUUUGCUAAAAAAAAACCUGAAAGGUUUCAUCUAGAAGCUAGUAUUAAAGUUACUGCAUCUUUAAGAACAGCAGGGCAUCGCAGUGUCUAAGUCUCUAGGGAACAGCUGGAAACUGAAUAAAGUGCUAAACCUUACUUGUGAGGAUUCAAAUGAAUAACUAUUCGCUGGCAAGUUUAACAUCCUUCAAGAAUUCUGCUAUAUUAUGCCUUUUCAUGUCUUUGUCCAAGGUGUCUUCUAUAUCUAGAGUCCAUAAUCUUAAGGCCCUACACAAAGAUGAAAAGGACACUGCUAGAUGACAGCCUAAGUCUGUGGCUGAAAAGGAUUUGGAAAUGUCAGCAUUGACCCUUUUGUCCAUAGGUUCUGUGAGGGAAGCAUUACUAUCAAUUGGAAGAGCAGAAUGUCUAGCGAUCUUAAAGGGGCACUAUAGUCACCAGCUUAUUGUAUUUGUUCUGAUGAGUAGAAUCAUUCCCUUCAGGCAUUUUGCAGUAAACACUGUAUUUUCAGAGAAAAUGCAGUGUUAUAUUACAGCCUAGUUAUAACUCCACUGGCCACUCCUCAGAUGGCUACUAGAAGUGGGACAGUGCUCCACACUGUGCAGUACUGCCAUUCAGUGCCUUCACCCUCUGCAUGCAGACACUGAACUUUCAUCAUAGAGAUGCAUUGAUUCAAAGCAUCUCUAUGUGGAAAUGCUGAUUGGCCAGGGCUGUGUUUGACUUGUGUUGCCUCUGCCCCUGAUCUUCCUCCUUGAGAGUCUUAGCCAAACCUAUGGAUAAGCUUUGUGAUUGGCUCAGACCACCACUUCUGAUGAUGCCAGCAGACAACAGGCAGAUCAGGGGCAGAGGCAGCAGCUGCAGACUUGAAUAAAGUAAGAUUUUACUAUAUUUAGGGAGGCAAGGUGAGCCAGGGGGGCUAGAUGGUAGUUUCAACAGUGUAAUGUCAGGAAUACAUGUUUGUGUUUCUGACCCUAUAGCAUUUCUUUAAAAACAGGAGCACCCACCUUAGGGUUAGAGUAACAUAAUUUUGAAACCUCUUCCUUGCGCUUGGAAAGUCUUACCUUUUACCUUACCUUGGAUUUUUUUUUUUCAGGAAUGGACCAUUCCACCCACAUAAGAUCUUUAAUAGAUCUAUGAAAAAGAAAAUAAGACUCCCUUCUGAUUAAGUCCCCAAAGUGCUUAUCUGAAGCCAAAGCUUUUGGAAUUUUUAAAGUUCUUCUGAUCAAGGCAGUUAGGUGUUUAUUAUUCUUAGAGUCUAAGGUAUGUGCUAUGAGAUAUUUCUUCAUCACUCAAAGUGAUGGGCUCAAAUUCCAAAGAUCCGGUUUCUCUAAAGUGUCAGAAUCCAAAUUUAAGCUUUUGCAUCUAGGUCUUUUCCCUCUGCUGAAUUCUGCAAUACCUUUCACCACAGUAUGCUUAAUCCAUAAAGCAAUAUCCUGGGCAGAAGUAGUGGCCUGUGGUGUCUGGCUUUGGUCAUAUUCUCCUGCAAUCAGGGCAGUGAAAACAGAAGUCAUGAGAAACUAUAAUGAGAAACUCAAAUGCACUCUUUAAUAAUAUAACUUUUUUUAAAAACAAAAUGCUCACCUAUGACUUAUUGCAGCAGACUUGGCAGAAGAUUCCAUACCUAACCAAAUGGACUAAAAAAAAUCAAAUAGCAGUAACUAAAUAUCUGCUUAAAGAUAUACUAAAAAUAACGUACUUGAAAAAAUAAAAUUCUUACCUGCAGAGAAUGCACAAACAACCUGAAUAGCAAACAAAAACCUCCAGUGAAUGAAAUGUUCUAAUGCACUGUUAAGAAGAGCACUUGCUUUUGUCCUCUGAUUUAAAUCUCAUUACCAGCACCUUUAAAUCUUUGUGUGUUCACCAUUCAAAUGCAAGUGCCCCAACUGUAAUAUUGGAAAUUGGAAAAGUUAGGGCUAACUGCAUUCAAACUUACCACACAUGCACAUGCAGAAAAAAAAUAUGAUAGAACAAACUAUUUGUCCUAAGACAAAGAGGACUGGAAAAGAACUCAGGAACAGUGUCUAUGGGGAUCCUAUUAUACCUUACUCCUUUUUAAUGAGGGAUGAGCUAACCAAUUAGUCAAAUGCUGCCGUGAUAAGCCAGGAAAUAUGGGCGUAUUAUUGGAAUAGGAUUGAAAAGAAAACCUCCCAACAGUUCACAUGAACAAAUAGAGACACUUUAAUUUCACGGGUAUGGGUGGAGGUGUGGCCAGGUGACUUACUAAAAAUCAUUUAUGCAACUAAAAUGUAAUAUAGAACAAGAGCAACAUAUCUUAUUUACAUUGACUGAUUUCUAAACAUAUUUAUUGUAGUAUAAAGAAACUGUGAGUAAUAUUGCUGUGGAACUGUGCUAUGCACUCAGACACCCCAACAACAUGGAACUCGUAGAAAAGAGGGGCAUUGGGAUAGAAAUGAGGGACAGAGAGAUUUGGACUGAAGUCUGUCUGCUGUGUUUGUGAUGAAAAUAAAUAAACUGGCCAGAUUUUGUAUUUAAGUGGCUAAAAAAAGGCUGGCUGUACCCCAUUUAGAAUAGCAUUGGUUGACUGCUUUUAAAAAUGGUGUGCCAUCAUGGGUAUAAUGUUCUUUGUCCAUAUUCUACCCAUAUUUGUCCCAUAACUUCCAGAAACCUCAGAAAACCUCUACAUAGGGGCAUUGAUGCACUCAUGGUACAUCCCAUUUUAUUCAUAUUCAGUUAUGGUUCAUAUGUAAAUAUGUGAUGUCAAAAGAAAGAUGUGAUUGAUAAUCAUGUGGGUGCAUGUAAUGUACAAGUGGCAAAUUAUGGAUUAACAAACCUGUAGCUCAAACUCUAGGAUUUGUUUUGCUUCAGAACUUUCACUAUUACCUCUGUCUGUAAGAGCACGGCAGGGUAAGGUGCAAGCAUUUCAGACUACUAAUAUGAAGAUGUAUUUUGGUGCCCCCCGUAUCCCCCCCUAAAAAAAGAAUCUUCCCUUGUGUGUCUCAUAACCCCCAUCUUUUAAAUGUCUUAUCCCUUUUUGUGUAUCUUGCCCAUCUUUUGAAUCCCCCUUUAGUGUAUCUUAUCCCUCAUUUUCCCCUUUGUUUCUUACACCAACUUUGUGUUUCUCUUACUUUCUCCCUUUGUGUGUCUUACUUUCUCUCAGCCUCUUUGUGUGUCUCUUACUUUCUCUCAGCCUCUUUGUGUGUUUCUUACUUCCUAUCUUAUGUGUCUCAUUCUUCCCCCAGCCCCUUUGUGUGUCAUUGUCAUGAGUGUCCGCAGGGGGGGGGUAAGAGGGGGCACUUGCCCCACCCUGGAUUAUUCAGCUUGUUCUGCUAUUUUUCGUGUGAUUGAAAAUGAACUGCAAUACCGGCGGUGUAUGGAAAGAGACAGGGAUAGAAAGCUGCAUCUUAUCCCUGCUUCUCUCUGCUGAUUGAAACCGCAGGGGAACAACACAUGCAGCCAGAGACAGCCUACAGAUCAUGUAAGUGGGGGAUGGGGGGAGGGUUUGAGAGGGGGGGCAGCCUUCUAGAUCCAGGUGAGGUAGGGGAUGAGGGGAGGGUUUGAACAGCCUAUAGAGGGGCAGCAACGCAUACAAGGUCAGGUAAGUGAGGAUGGGGGAGGUUUGAGAUAGCCUAUAUAUAGAUUUGGGGGGCGGCAGCCACAGAUCCAGGUAUAGUGAGGGAUGGGGGGAGGUUUGAGAUAGCCUAUAAGGUGGGGGGGCAGAAGCCUACAGAUCAGUAAGUGAGGGGAUGGGGUUGAGAUCAGCCUAUGGUGGAUUUGGGGGCAGCAUACAGAUAGGAUGAAAAGUGAGGAGGGAUGGGGGUUUGAGAUAGCCUAUAGAUUUGGGGGCAGCAGCCUACAGAUCAGGUAAGUGAGGAUGGGGAGGGUUUGAGAUAGCCUAUGGUGGGGGCGGCAGCCUAUAGAUUUGAGGCAGCUAUGGUUGGGGGCAGCAGCCUAUAGGUGGGAGUGAGGGAUGGGGGGAGGGUUUGAGAUAGCCUAUAAAAUUUUUGGGGGCGGCCUAUAAGGAGGUGAGACGGGGGGCAGCAGCCUAUAGAUUAGGGGAGUGAGUGAGGGAUGGGGGGGGCAGCAGCCUAUAGAUUAGGGGAGUGAGACUGGGGGGGGCAUCAGUCUAUAGAUUAGGGGAGUGAGGCUGGGGGGGGCAGCCUAUUGCAUUAGGGUGUGCACCCUAAAGCACAAACACACGCCAUGUGUAUAUGUAUAUGUAUGUGUGUAUAUAUAUAUAUAUAUAUAUAUAUAUACUGCUAUGUGUAUAUAUAUAUAUAUAUACUGACAUAUAUAUACUGCUGUGUGAGGGUGCUGGUAGUGUGCUAUGUGGGUGAGGGUGUUUUUGUGUGUGUUUGUGAGAGUGCUGUUAGUAUGCUGUGUGUGAGGGUGCUGUUUGUGUGGGAACUGGUAGUGUGCUGUGUGUGUGUGUGUGUGUGAGAAGGUGUUUGUGUGUACGUGUUUGUUCGGGUCCUGUUAGUGUGCUGUUUGUGUGCUGAGUGUGUGUUGUGUGUUUGUCAGGGUGCUGUUUGUGUGUGAGUGUGCUGUUUGUGUGUGGGUUUUGUGUGUUUGUGAGGAUGCUGUUAGUGUGCUGGGUGUGUGUGGGUGCUGUGUGUGCGAGGGUGAUGUAUGUGUGUGGGUGCUGUUUGUGGGCUGUGUGUGCUCUGUAUGUUUGGGAGGAGGUGGGGGCAGAUUAGUUAAUAUCCCAGUCCUGCUGCCUUCCCUGGUGGUUCAGUGGAGAGUGAACUCUAGCCUGGGUUCUCUGCUGCCUCCCUCCAUGCUGCUGUGGACCGGUGAGGUAGAACUUUGAUCUCCCCACCGGCCCAUGGAGGCUUAGACCGGAGCCGCCGCUCCGCGUAGCGUCGGCUCUGCAUGAGCCGACCGGGGAGAUCCAGAGAUCUCCCCUGCCGGUCUCAAUCCAUUGGCUUGCCGCGGGGAUUAGGGUGUGCCCAUGCACACCCGACACACCCCGUGCGCACGCCUAUGGAAGUGAGUGAUGGGGGAGACAGCCUACAUGAAGAGUCAGCAAGGAGCAGGAAGGUAAAGUAAGAAAAGGAGAACUCAGCCGCGGCUGAGAUGCAGAGAGAGGGGGGCUUAUCCAUCACCUUUUGCCCUCCCCAUGACAGGGGCAAGAGGUGAGACAGGGGGCGCUGAGUGCCUGCAGGAACAGCGUUCCUGCUCAAAAAAAGUGCAGGAACACUGUUCCUGCAGGACUCAAACCAUAGACGUGCCACGGGGAUUAGGGUGUGCCCAGGCACACCCGGCACACCCCGUGCGCACGCCUAUGCAUCUGUUUAACUUACAGUGAGUGAAAAAAAGUAUUUGAUCCCCUGGUGAUUUUGAAUGUUUGCCCACUGACAAAGAAAUGAUCAGUCUAUAUUUUAAUGGUAGAUGUAUUUUAACGGUGAGAGACAGAAUAACAAAAAAAUUCCAGAAAAACCCUUGUCAAAAAAGUAAUAAAUUGAUUUGCAUGUCAAUGAGUGAAAUAAGUAUUUGACAUCUUCGACUUAGUACUUGGUGGCAAAACCCUUGCUGGCAGUCAGAGGUCAGACAUUUCUUGUAGUUGGCCACCAGGUUUGCACACAUCUCAGGAGGGAUUUUGUCCCACUCCUCUUUGCAGAUCCUCUCCAAGUCAUUAAGGUUUCGAGGCUGAUGUUUGACAACUCGAGCCUUUAGCUCCCUCCACAGAUUUUCUAUGGGAUGGUCUGGAGACUGACUAGACCACUCCAGGACCUUAACGUGCUCUUGAACCACUUCUUUGUUGCCUUGGCUGUGUGUUUUGGGUCAUUGUCAUGCUGGAAUACCCAUCCAUGACCCAUUUUCAAUGUUCUGGCUGAGAGAAGGAGGUUCUCACCCAAGAUUUGAUGGUACAUUCAUCGUCCCAUUGAUGCGGUGCAGUUGUCCUGUUCCCUUAGCAGAAAAACACCCCCAAAGCUCCAUGUUUGACAGUGGGGAUGGUGUUCGUGGGGUCAUAGGCAGCAUUCUUCCUCCUCCAAACAUGGCGAGUUGAGUUGAUGCAAAAGAGCUCAAUUUUGGUCUCAUCUGACCACAACACUUUCACCCAGUUCUCCUUUGAAUCAUUCAGAUGUUCAUUGGCAAACUUUAGACGGGCCUGUACAUAUGCUUUCUUGAGCAGAGGGACCUUGCAGGCACUGCAGGAUUCCAGUCCUUCACAUCAUAGUGUGUUACCAAUUGAUUUCUUGGUGACUAAGGACCUAACUGCCUGCAGAUCAUUACCAAGAUCCCCCUGUUUGGUUCUGAGCUGAUUCCUCACUGUUCUCAUGAUCAUUGAAACUCCCAGAGGUGAGAUCUUGCAUGGAGCAUCAGUCUGAGGAAGAGUGACAGUUAUUUUGUGUUUCUUCCAUUUACAAAUAAUUUCACCUUCUCACCAAGCUGCUUGACGAUGGUCUUGUAGCCCAUUCCAGCCUUGUGUAGGUCUUCAAUCUUGUCCCUGACAUUCUUGGACAGAUCUUUGGUCUUGGCCAUGGUAGAGAGUUUGGAGUCUGAUUGAUUGAUUGCUUCUGUGGACUCAGCUCAUUACCUGUAUAAAAGACACCUGGGAGCCAGAAAUCUUGCUGAUUGAUAGCGGAUCUAAUACUUUAUUCACUAAUUGACAUGCAAAUCAAUUUAUACCUUUUUUGACGUGCGUUUUUCUUGAUUUUUUUAUUUUCUUUUGUUAUUCUGUCUCUCACUGUUAAAAUACACCUGCCAUUAGAAUUAUAGAGUAAUUAUUUCUUUGUCAGUGAGCAAACUUUCAAAAUCAGCAGGGGAUCAAAUACUUUUUUCCCUCACUGUAGAAGUUAUCAGGAAAAAGCAUAAAAAAUAUUUAGUGUUUAGGUGCCGCACCUCCCAAACACUAAAGUGCAAGUGCAGCACUAAAAAAUUCAAACAUAAUAUGAAGGCUCACCCCUAACUGUAGAGAUGGGGAAGCCAAUGCUUCUAUAUAUUGGAAAAGAGACAAAACAGAGAAAAAAAAACAAUAAUGCAAUAUCGUUGUGCUUUUAUAUAAAAGACAAUAAAUACCAGUAUUAAAAAAAACAGUCACAAGAAGAUAUAUUAUGUUCACAAUUUUUUGAGUCUGUUAAAAGUUAUGGCUCUGAAUGCAAAGAGCGCCCGUAAACCUUCUGGUGGCAACAAAACCUCUUUUGAUGAUCAGUCAAAUUCUUCCAGUGAGAUGCCUGUAGUCGAUAAAGUGAACAAGAGAGAAAGCUGGUACAAUAUUGUUUGUAAAUCUUAUAAUGGAAUAUAUAUAGAUAGGUAUGCUCACCUUUGCUUGGAGCGCACAUAUGACAGGCUCCAAGUUUGUAGACACUGUGCCAAAUCUAGAGUGACACAACCCCUCUUUAAUCCAAUCAGAUGGAGAUAAAGGCAAUAAAAACACUAAUAAAUUGUAAAAAAAACUUUAUUCUAUAUAAAAACAAAAGUAAAUGUUGAAGUAUAAAACAUUACCAAAUAAGAAUAGAAGAAUAAUGUCCUAGAGAUAAGUUUCACCCGUUUUCUGGCCUUUUUAAUUGAUUGUCUAUUCAUUGCAUUUAGAGGAUAUAUUGCACAGAUAUAAAUGCAAUGAAUAGUCAAAUCCGGCACUUUAUUAUAUAUUUGUAUGCACUUUACAAAGAAGUGUGUGCACAGUAAUGUGUUGCACUUUUGUUUGAUGCACUUUAUUGUAACAAUAGUGCACAGUGUUUUUAGCACUACCCUCUUUUCACCUUAAAGGCCCUUUUAUAUGAGAAUGGGAAUACAGUGCACCUUCAUUUUGUUUUACGUUAAAUGUGAAUGUCAGCAUAUGUCAUAAGACAACUGACUGUUCACUUGGAAGUAGAUCUGAUAAUUACCCUGCCAAAGCUUGACUUACCCCAGGACACCCUUUAGGUCUGACUGGACCCUGUAAAAGGCUACUAUGCGGCACCACCACCAGCAAAUUCCGGUAGAAGAUGCCACCAGAGGACUCACCAUUUCCUCCAUGACCAGCCUGCUAGAUGGACCUCUGGUAAACAUACCACUACGUUGCUCCUUACUUUAUGUGCAUUUUCAUGAAAUAUAACAUAAAAUACUCUGUUGAAAUCACUUAAUGGGGAGAAGGGCUAACAUGGAUCAAUAGGGGGCACCCAUGUGUACUAAUGCUUUGUAUACACACUAUUCAACCUCAGUUAUUCCCUUAAUUCUGCGCAAAAAACUUUUGUUGAUACUAUAGUAACCCAAAAAAAUUCAAACAGAAUAUGAAGGCUCACCCCUAACUGUAGAGAUGGGGAAGCCAAUGCUUCUAUAUAUUGGAAAAGAGACAAAACAGAGAAAAAAAAACAAUAAUGCAAUAUCGUUGUGCUUUUAUAUAAAAGACAAUAAAUACCAGUAUUAAAAAAAACAGUCACGAGAAAAUAUAUUAUGUUCACAAUUUUUUGAGUCUGUUAAAAGUUAUGGCUCUGAAUGCAAAGAGCGCCCGUAAACCUUCUGGUGGCAACAAAACCUCUUUUGAUGAUCAGUCAAAUUCUUCCGACAAUUUAAAAGGAAAAAAAUACUAGGCACCCCAAUAUUAUUAUUACAAGGAAAAGUAAACAACCAACAUAGGAGGUGUUGGAUCAGACCGCUCUCCAAUAUAGGUCUCGAUAACAUCCCCACUGCUCAGACCCAAAGCAUACCAAUGGAGACUAAAUGAAACACUACUAGACACCCACAUAUUAAAGAGAGACUUCAAAAACGAAUCCAGCAAAACUUUACUGAUAUUACUACAUUCUCUACUUUCCCAACUCUCAUUUGGGAAGCACAUAAAGCUGUGAUCCGGCGUACCUGAUACAACCAGGGGCUAGAUGGAAAAGAGAACCCCUAAAAGAAAUACACUUGCUUGUUGUUAAGAGGAACUAGAAAAAAAACAUGAUCAGUCUAUGGUAGACGACAUCUACACCAACUAACACAUCUAAAAAAAUGUGUCACUAUUAAACAUCUAGGGUAAGUCACUAAUUCAUUAUUUGAUAUAUAUUUAUGCACUGUACUAGUUAUUAUUAUUAAUCUUGAUAAAGGCCCAGGAGGGUCGAAACAUUGAUUCUUUCAACACACAUUUAAAAAAUCCUGUGGAGUGCUAUAUAUAAAAUAAAAAUAGGCUGCACGGUUUUCUGUAGUAGUUUUCGUUUUAUUUUAUUCAUCCAUUUACUAGGUGGACAAAACACAAUACUGUGUGUGGAUUAAAGAGUCUUUAGCAAAGUUCAACGUUUCAGUCCCACCUGGGGACUUUCCUCAGCACCAAUAAACUCUAAUGCAUAUCAAACAGUAUAUAUAUAGCCAUACAUUAAUUAGAAAUGAUUAAAGAGCAGUGUGUACCAAUUUUCCCUAAUAGCGUUUUCCCGGUCCGUGUGCGCAUGUGCGUGCAUUGCUCCGCCCCUUAUGUGACGUAACGUCAUAACGUUAAUAACGCAUGUUGAUAGCUUCGCCCCUGUGUGACGUGCAUAUAGAGAUGACAUUGAGUACCUGCGUUUCCAUGGCAACGCUCGCGCACACAAUGUCAAAUCCCUAAUUUAAAACCAUUGAGUUAAAAUGCUGGUGAUUAUACAUGUAAUACACACUGAAAAAAUUAUAAACGCAACACUUUUGUUUUUGCCCCCAUUUUUCAUGAGCUGAACUUAAAAAUCUAAGACUUUUUCUAUAUACACAAAAGGUCUAUUACUUUCAAAUAUUGUUCACAAAUCUUUCUAAAUCUGCGUUAGUGAGCACUUCUCCUUUACCUAGAUAAUCCAUCCACCUCACAGGUGUGGCAUAUCAAGAUGCUGAUUAGACAGCAUGAUUAUUGCAAAGGUGUGCCUUAGGAUGGCCUCAAUAAAAGGCCACUCUAAAAUGUGCAGUUUUAUCACACAGCACUACAGAUGUCGCAAAUUUUGAGGGAGCAUGCAAUUGGCAUGCUGACUGCAGGAAUAUCCACCAGAGCUGUUGUAAAUUGAAUGUUCAUUUCUCUACCAUAAGCCAUCUCCAAAGGUGUUUCAGAGAAUUUGGCAGUACAUCCAACCGGCCUCACAACCACAGACCACACCAGCCCAGGACCUACACAACCAGCAUCUUCGCCUGUCAAAAACCAUCUUGGGGAAGCUCAUCUGCAUGAUUGUCGUCCUCAUCGGGGUCUCGACCUGACUGCAGUUCAUCAUCGUAACCGACUUGAGUGUGAAAAUGCUCACAUUCGAUGGCUUCUGGCACUUUGGAGAGGUGUUCUCUUCACGAAUGAAUCCUGGUUUUCACUGUACAGAGCAGAUGGCAGACAGCAUGUAUAGUGUAGUGUGGGUGAGCGGUUUGCUAAUAUUAAUGUUGUGAAUCGAGUGGCCCAUGGUGGCAGUGGGGUUAUGGUAUGGGCAGGCGUGUGUUAUGGACAAUGAACACAGGUGCAUAUUAUUGAUGGCAUUUUGAAUGCACAGAGAUACCGUGAUGAGAUUCUGAUGCCCAUUGUUGUACCAUUCAUCCAUGACCAUCACCUCAUAUUGCAGCAUGAUAAUGCUAGGAUCUGUACACAAUUCCUGGAAGCUGAAAACAUCCCAGUUCUUGCAUGGCCAGCAUACUCACCGGACAUGUCACUUAUUGAGCAUGUUUGCGAUGCUCUGGAUCGGCGUAUAUGACAGCGUGUUCCAGGUCCUGACAAUAUCUAUCAACUUCGCACAGCCAUUGAAGUAGGAGGAGUGGACCAACAUUUCACAGGCUACAAUCAUCAACUUGAUCAACUCUAUGCGAAGGAGAUGUGUUGCACUGCGUGAGGCAAAUGGUGGUCACACCAGAUACUGAGUGGUUUUCUGAACCCAACGCACCACCCAAUACAGUAAAACUGCACAUUUUAGAGUGGCCUUUUAUUGUGGCCAGCCUAAGGCACACCUGUGCAAUAAUCAUGCUGUCUAAUCAGCAUCUUGAUAUGCCACACCUGUGAGUUGGAUGGAUUAUCUCGGCAAAGGAGAAGUGCUCACUAACACAGAUUUAGACAGAUUUGUGAACAUUUCAGAGAAAUAGGCCUUUUGUGGACAGUCUUAGAUCUUUGAGUUCAGCACAUGGAAAAUGGGAGCAAAAACAAAAGUGUUGCGUUUAUAUUUUUGUUCAGUGUAUAUAAAGUGAUGUGGAUACGUAUACCCUAAUACCUCAAAGUAAUGGUUGUGUGAUAAAGUGCAAAAGUGCAAUAUCUUAAUUAAGAAGAUUAUGAUUAAUUAAAGUGCUUAUUACUUAUACAGUAGAUACCGUCUACUGCAGAAAUAGGGUCCUUAUAAAGCAAAAUACUUCAGAAAGUGAAUACUGCAUACUAGAGUGAAAUAUGUGUUGCAAUCUCCCUGUGAUUGAACAUAGUAAAAAGGUAAAUGAAAGUGCCGGUGCUUCCAAAGGCAACAAGUACACAUCCAAGGGCAGUUAUUAAGUCACUCCCAAAAGCACAAUAUAAUAUAUAAUAUAAUCCACACACAGUAUUGUGUUUUGUCCACCAAGUAAAUGUAAACUACUACAAAAAAUCAUGAGUACAGCCUUUUUUAAAUUUUUUAACAUUUUUGUAUUAAAGGUAGAGGCUAAGCACCCGGUAAACAAUUUAAGCAUGUGUGCAAGGAUUGAGAGUGUAUAUAGGGAUCUAGUCUGUGUAUGAUUAGAUGAUCCAGAGAUGGGUAAGGGAUCUAGCGUGUAUCUGGAGCGUAAUGUGUGUAUUGGGCAGUGUGAGCGGUGCUGUAGUAUAUAUACAUAUAUGUUUGGACGUAUUGUAUGUGUGAGGGGCGCAGUGUGUUAGGUGUGCUGUGUGUAUGUGUGAACGGUGCAGCAUGUGUGUGUGUGUGUGUGUGUGUGAGGGCUGCAGUGUGUGUGUAAGAGGGGUGCUGUGUGUGUGUGAGGGUGUUCUUAUCUACCGUCACAUUCUAUGUUUCUAGUUUUCUUUGUCUGCUAACUCACUGAGGUUUAUUUUAUAUAGUUAAUAUACGUGGGUGUGUUUUAUUGUGUGUGCUGUGUAUGUGUGAGGGUGCUGUGUGUGUAAUGGUGCUGUGUGUGUGCUGUGUGUGUCUGAGGGUGCUAUGUGUGUGCGAGAGUGCUGUUAGUUGAGUGUGCUGUGUGUGUGUGUGUGUGUCUGAGGGUGCUGUGUGUGUCUGAGGGUGCUGUGUGUUUGGAGGUGCUCUGUGUCUGGGGGUGCUGUGUGUGUCUGAGGUUGCUGUGUGUGUUUGAGGGUGCUGUGUCUGUUUGAGGGUGCUGUGUGUGUCUGAGGGUGCUGUGUGUGUGUCUGAGGGUGCUGUGUGUGUGAGAGUGCUCUUAGUUUGAGGGUGCUGUGUGUGUCUGAGGGUGCUGUGUGUCUGGCGGUGCUGUGUGUCUGGGUUUGCUGUGUGUGUCUGAGAGUGCUGUGUGUGCCUGAGGGUGCUGUGUCCGUUUGAGGGGACUGUGUGUGUCUGAGGGUGCCGGGGGUUCUUAGGUUGCUGUGUGUGUCUGAGGGUGCUAUGUGUGUCUGAGGGCACUGUGUGUCUGAGGGUGCUGUGUGCUGGUCCGUCUUUAACACGGGUCAAAAGGGGCAGCUUCCCUGGACCCAGUCAUUCCUAGGGGGCCCAAAGCAGCUGCCACUUGAGCCCGCCGGCCACCCGAGAGCAAUGAGUCUGCAGGGGCCUGGUCAGUGCUGCGGUGCUUUAACAGCGCGACCGGGCCCCCUGUGAUGAGGUCAGCGCUAGGAGGAAGUGCAGUCCUGCCGCGCAGGAAGGAGGAAGAGAGGAGGAGUGAGGACUGGGAGAGAGACCAACUCGCAACAGCCUAAGGCAGCCACUGGACCCAAUGUAGGAAACAUGAGUGUGACUGAAAUUGUAUAUUUUCCAUGUGUGUCCGUUUGUGUGUGUAUAGUUGUCUGCAUGUGUAUCAGUCUGUGUGUGUAUCUGACUGUAUGUGCAUAUGUGUGUCUGUAUGUGUGUUUCUGUGUGUAUAUUUGUCUGUAUGAGUAUAUGCACGUGUCUGUUUAUCUGUCUGUGUAUAUGUCUGUAUGUGUAUCUGUGUAUCUGUCUGUAUGUGUAUAUGCAUGUGUCUGUGUUUGUGUGUGUGUGUGUGUGUGUGUAUCUGUCUAUAUGGAUAUCUGUGUGUCUGUAUGUGUGUCCCUCUGUAUAUGUGUGUGUCAAUAUUUGCAUCUAUAUGAGUGCCAUCCAGUAUGUCUGAAUGUUUGUCAUUAAGUGUGUCUGUGUACCUUCAUGUGUGUCAGUGUGUCUGUAUGUGUAUCGCUGUGUCUGUAUGUGUAUCUCUUGGUAUGUGUUUCUGUGUAUCUGCAUGUGUGUCAGUGUGUGUCCCUGUGUAUCUGUCUGUGUCUGUGUAUCUGUGUAUGUGUCUGUAUAUGUAUCUUUGCAUCUGUAUGUGUUAGUGUGUGUCUGUGUAAUUGCAUUUGUGUCCGUGUAUGUAUCUGCAUGUGUGUUAUUGUAUGUAUCUGCAUAUAUGUCAGAGUGUGUUUGUUUAUCUGUGUGUUAGUGUGUGUCUGCAUGUUUGUCAGUGAGUGAGUGUAUCUGUGUAUCUGUAUGUGACAGUGUGUAUCUGUGUAUGCACCUGUGUGUCUGUGUAUCUGUCUUUGUAUGUCUGUGUAUUUGGAUGUAUAUACCUGUGUACCUUCUUUUUUCUUUCUUUUCUCUUUCUUUUCUCUUUUCUUUGCUCUUUCUUUUCUCUUAUGUACCUGUGUAUGCCUGAGCCUGUGUAUGUGUGUAUCUGCAUUUGUGUCAGUGUUUGCAUCUGUAUUUGUGUCAGUGUGUGUAUUUUCUCUAGGUGAACGAUCUAUGUGUGUGGUUUUUUUUUCCGUGUUUUAUUUAUAUGUGUCUUUAGGUGGAAGGCGUGUUUGCAUGCUAGAAGGUAGGAGGAAGGGACCAGGGGGCCCAAUGUAAUGCUAGCCUAGGUUCCAAUCAACAUUAAAGACCACCCUGGCUGUGUGUGUGACGGUGCUGUGUUUGUGAGGGGGCUAUGUGUGUCUGUGGGUUCUGUGUAUGUGUUUGUGCUUUGUGUGUCUGAGGGUGCAGUGUGUUAGUGUACUGUUAGUGUAAAUGUGCUGUGUGCUGUGUGUUUGUGUCUGAUGGUGCUGUGUGUGUCUGAUGGUGCUUGGUAUCUCAGGGUGCUGUGUGUGUCUGAAGGUACUGUGUGUGUCUGAGGGUGCUGUGUGUGUGAGGGUGCUGUGUGUGUCCGAGGAUGCUGUGUGUGUCUGAGGGUGCUGUGUGUGUGAGGAUGAUGUUAGUGUGAGUGUGCUUUGUGUGUGUGAGGGUGCUGUUAGUGUGAGUGUUGUGUGUAUAUUUAUGUGUGUGUGAGGGGGGGACAGAUUUAAAUAUAUUAAAUAUGUAAUCGUUAUCUGAGCGUUGCCGUGGUGACCGCGGCAGCGCUUUGACCUUGCAAGAGUAACCCGGCAGAGCUGCAGGUAAGAGCUUCACCAGGUCCUCCCUCCCUCCCCAUCUUUGAUCUCCCCACCAGCCCAUGAAGGCACACAGCAGGGCCGGCACACAGAUAUUUGCAAUUCUAAUGCAUGAAAUGUGUAAUUUUUAAAGUGACAUCAUAAUUUUUUCUCCUAAUACUAUGGGUCUAUCUAAAUUUAAUGAACAGACAAAAGUAAAGUAUGCAUCUAAUAUCAAACAGCACUGUUGAUUCACUUCUUUCAGUAAAAUGCAUGUUGGUGAACAUGUAGAAAUCUACUGGAAAAUAAUUAUAGUUUACUGUUUAAAACUAGGAAGUAACAGAACAGAUGCAUGUGAUCAUGCAUAGUUUUAAGAAGUAAUAUUCGGAUGUGGCUUAUAAUUGCAAAACUUCCCAUUUCAGAAAUGUUAGUCACAAAUUAUGAUGUAUGUUGUGUUGGUGUUUGAUUGCUUGGAUGUAUGCACAUACACAUAUACACUGUCACAUACAUACUUGCACAGAUAUACAGACACAUACACACACACAGAGAUACACACACCAACACAUACACACACAAAAACAGAGAUGCACACACUGACACAUGCACACACCCUGACACACAGAGACACACACUGACACAUAUACACACAGAUGCACACCCUGACACAGAUGCACACAGACACACAUACUGAUACAUGCAUACACCCUGACUGAUACACUAACAUAUACACACAUUGACACACAGAUGCACAUACAGAGAUGCACACUGACACAGAGGCACACACACUGACAUGCACACACAUCUAGACAUAGAUAUACACACAAUCUGACAUUCAUACACACAUCCUUGGCAUAAUUUUUUUUAUGUUUGCACCCUCUUGUCAGCUUACCUUUUUUGUACAUGAGGGUGGCUUGCUUGGGGUCCUACUGGCUGAUGCUCUGUUUGAAGCUGGAGACAAGCCGCGCUCUUAAAGGGCUAUCACUUGACCGGGCCCUGUUCAGCGAUAUCCAUCGGGUGGCUGCCUGCAACAACAGUAGUUCCGCCACUGUGCAUGUUUGAAAACUGUAAUACAAACAAGAGAGAUUUUUAAAGAUGACAUAUAUUUCCUUUAGCUGAUUUUAUAUAAUCAAGAGGGGGGGUUGGAUAGAUCUUUUACGGCUAUUCGAGGCCUUAAAAGACAUACAGACGUAAUCAAAAUUAUUUAAUCCCUAUUGAAAAUCAGGUUUACAGACUUUCAGCUGUUUGCAAUGAACAAAUCAACCAAAAUCAAUUGAAAUAGCUCAACACAAUGAAUGCUUCAAGUGGUAAACUCUAAAUUCCCAGUCUCAAAAUAAUUUAACCCAAGCAUCUUUGGUAGUGAUGUCCCGAACGGUUCGCCGAACGGUUCGUGAACGGUUCGUCACGAACGGUUCGCCACGGACUCAUCAUUGAGUAAACUUUGACCCUGUACCUCACAGCAGUGUUUCCCAACCCAGUCCUCAAGGCACACCUACCAGUCCAGGAUUUAGGGAUUACCCAGUUGUGUCUAAGGUGUUUUUACAAAGAAGAAAAAAAACACCUUAGACACAACUGGGUAAUCCCUAAAUCCUGGACUGGUAGGUGUGCCUUGAGGACUGGGUUGGGAAACACUGCCUUGAGGACUAGGUUGGGAAACACUGCCUCACAGUCAGCAGACACAUUCCAGCCAAUCAGCAGCAGACCCUCUCUCCCAGACCCUCUCACCUCCUGGACAGCAUCCAUUUUACAUUCUUAGAGAGCUGUCCAGGAGGUGGGAGGGUCUGGGAGAGAGGGUCUGCUGCUGAUUGGCUGGAAUGUGUCUGCUGACUGUGAGGUACAGGGUUAAAGUUUACUCAAUGAUGAGUCCGUGGCGAACCGUUCGCGAACCGUUUGGCGAACCGUUCGAGACAUCACUAAUCUUUGGUACUUAGUAGAGUCCAAUGAUGUCCAAGUUUCAGCUUUCUCACAGACGGCAUGACGUUUUCUCACUGGAUUUCCUGAUAAUUUAAUAAAUCCAUUUUACCAUCCACACGCUGCAGGUUACCAGUGCCAGCGGAUGCAAAGCAGCCCCAGAGCAUCACCAAGCUGCCACCAUGCUUGACUUUAGGUAGAGUGUUCUCUUCAGCAUAUACUUCAUUCUUUCUCCUCCAGACAUACCGCUGAUCCAUUGGGCCAAAAAGUUCCUGUUUUGUUACAUUGUUCCACCGAACAGAGUCCAAAAACUUCUGUGUCUUAUUUAUAUGAUUUUGAGCAUAUUAGAGUCAACUUUUUUUAAAACUUUUGGGUCAGUAGUGGUAUAAGUCUUGGAGUUCUGUCAUGGAUAUCUUCUGUGUUUAGUAGGUGCUGUGACGGACUACCCUGUCUCUGGAUUAUAAGUACUAUGUUUCACUCUCUUUUAUGUCCGGGACAUUGCAUUUCCCUUCAUUUUAUUAUUAUUUCAUUCACCCACCGAACAAACUCCCAAACAACCACCCGUAUGCGGAGUGUACCACUCAUUAACCUCUGUCACUGUCUUAACACUCCUAAACUGCAAACAUUCUAAGCAGUCGGCUGGGUCUUUAAUAAUGAACACACAGAGCGGUCAUCGAAUGCAUGGAACCCAAAUCGGGCACUCAACGGUACUAACACCACUAUAACUUCCCUUCCAUUGAAGUUCGGUUAAACGUAUGGGGAUUGAAAGGCGUUCGGUGGGAGCAAGCUCCCGAACGAGAGACUGAGCGUACCCACGAACUGCUAUGUUCCGUGUUUUGACUAUAUUGAGUAUUCCCAAAAGAGGCCGACCGCAUAGCCUGAUUUCAUGGAACUCUUUUGGGCAGGAUGCCUCGUUUGUGGUCGGUCAAAAUAUGACCUCCAUUUAAAUCCCAAAUCCCUGAAUGAUUUUUGGAUAUGUUGGUCACCCAGAUUGGGGCCAUCAGGGUAUGUAACUUUUGUGGGGUUUCCAUUGGUUUUGGGGGUACUUUCGGGGUACUGCUAAAAUGUAUGUUUUCUGUGCCUGGAGAUAGUUGAGUUUAGUACAGUUUCUGACUCCAUUAUCUCUCAGGCACCUGGACCUGAGAGCCAAUGUAAUCAUGUGUAUGUUUUUACUGUCUACUCUGUCUACUCUUUUUACUGUCUACUCUCAGGUCUAGCGGGGAAUGCCCCUGGAAUAUGUAACAGGAAAUCCCUUGCAUGGCGACUGACAUAAAGGGCCGUGUGUGGCCCCAUUAAAGCCAGUUGUCCACAACAUAGAGCCUCGUCUAAUGUUUGUGAAAUAAAGCUAUAACGGCUGUCUUCCUUCUGCUUGGAGUGCUAAAUCACUAGCUCUUGUAAGAGCUGUUCCUGCUCUGUAUUACAGCAUCCCUCACACUAGGGGAAGAAGAACAUCUCUGGUGGCAAAACCUCUCUUCCCCUCGGGGUGGCCGCCACAGGUGCCUUACUGUGCUCACUGAAUCCUAAGUACCUGUUGCCACUAAGUAUUGCUGCAGGUCUUUUGUAGUCAUUUGAGGGUUUUUCACAAUCUGGCUUCUCAGAAAUCUGGUUGUAGCUAUUGAUAGCUUCCUUUUUCUGCCCCAUGCAGGUAGUGUAACUUCUGUUCCUUCAAACUUGAACUUGCAAGCUAUGCUUCCAACUGUGUCUCUAGGAACAUUCAGUGCCUUCACUAUCUUUUUGUAUCCUGUUCCCUGUUUGUGAAGGUUGAUGAUCUCUUUUCUUAACUUGCCCUUAAAUCAAUUAACUUUUGGACCAUUCUUUUGAUUUAUCCAUAUUUCUAACAUGCAGUUAAAUCUGAUACUCAACAAACCCCUAGCCAGUUCAAGUAUUUCAAGUGUUCCAACUCAAGCACACCUGGUACAAUUAACGAAGCCCAUGAUUAGUUGCAUAAGGUGUGCUUGAAACUGCACCUGUUUUGCAUAAUUAUGCUGUUGUGACGGAUUCUAUUCAGGGAGUUGAAUAAUUUGGGUGUGUGGAAAAGUCAGUAUAAGUUGCAUUUUCAGUUGAAUUUGAGGAAACCACCUGAAGCAUUCAUUGUUUUGAGCUAUUUCAAUUGCUUUUGCUUGAAUUGUUCAUUACAAACAGCUGAAAGUCUGUACAUUUUGAAAAUAAACCUGAUUUUCAACGGGCGUUGAAAAUUUUUGAUUACAACUAUAAAUUUCCUGACGUGACAAUAUCACUAGCACAGGAGGCAAUACAAUCAAUGAGUUAAUUUAAAAUAGAUGUGUUAUCCAAUAUUGACAGGUCUACUAUCUAGAAAAGUGGGGAGCGGGCCAGGCAGCAAUGGCAGUUUGCAUGCCAAUGGGCGAGCAUGUAAACAGGGCCUGUCAAACCAGCAUCCAUGUGCAACAGGGUAACAGAAUGCCUAUUUUGCCUGCCAUCAGAACUGUCCAUAUGAUGAAUAUAACUGUAGCAUUUGUACAUUGGCUUAAAUACACCUAAUUUAAUUACAUAUGCAGCACAAGCGUGGUUGAAGGGAUACUAAAGGCAAAACAAAAUUAACUUUCACUUAGAUAUGCUCCUGCUCUGUACAUUAAACUUCACUUGAAGAUUAUGCUAGCUUUAGUGUACCUGUAAUCUUAAUUUUAUUAAUAACAGGAGGCGAGUAUUUGCUGAAGUCUCUCUUUACUAGAACUCCACAGCAGCACAGAAAAAACAACCAAUCAAAAAAAAGUUAGGUACUAUAAAACUCCCCUCCCCAUCCAUCAUUUCCUCUUUCAAGCUGCGACUAAACAGAACAAAAGGCAGAAAAUAUAAUGGGGAAGAAACGAAGUCCUAGAUACAAUGAAUACAACAAUGUCCACCGUCUGAGAAGAACUGCCAAACCAGAUGGACUGUAAACUGAAAUGAGAGAAAAAACAGAAUCGAAAAGGUUGGUUAGCCAAUGAAAUGUACUCUGAACAAAAAAUGUAGGCACCCAGUGUAACAACCAGAAAUAUCAUAAUAUACAGAGAUCCCAACCCUUACUUUGGAAAACGGACUCAAGAACAAGAGACAGGUAGCAGAGACAACAAGCAGAGUUGCAUACGUACCUGAUGAACCCAAACUAUAGUAUAGACAAGGGAGGGAUAAGAAUGGGUGGGAAAUACUCGCCUCCUGUCAUUAAUAAAAUUAAGAUUAUAGGUACACUAAAGCUAGCAUAAUCUACAAUUUUAUAACAUGACAGGAGGCUUUGUAUUUGCUUUUUUAACGCUCAGGCAACAAAGCCAACACUGUUUGUUUCACUGGUACUUAUUCCAGGAGAUAACUAGAUCAAUCCCAAAUGGACCUUCCAACUGCGAGAAGUGACAGUAGACGGAUCGAUGAAGAUGCCAGCUGUCGAUGUACCCAAAAAUAUGGAAAAUACACCCUCCGCUGUGUGUGUCUGAUGGUGCUUGGUAUCUCAGGGUGCUGUGUGUGUCUGAAGGUACUGUGUGUGUCUGAGGGUGCUGUGUGUGUGAGGGUGCUGUGUGUGUCCGAGGAUGCUGUGUGUGUCUGAGGGUGCUGUGUGUGUGAGGAUGAUGUUAGUGUGAGUGUGCUUUGUGUGUGUGAGGGUGCUGUUAGUGUGAGUGUUGUGUGUAUAUUUAUGUGUGUGUGAGGGGGGGACAGAUUUAAAUAUAUUAAAUAUGUAAUCGUUAUCUGAGCGUUGCCGUGGUGACCGCGGCAGCGCUUUGACCUUGCAAGAGUAACCCGGCAGAGCUGCAGGUAAGAGCUUCACCAGGUCCUCCCUCCCUCCCCAUCUUUGAUCUCCCCACCAGCCCAUGAAGGCACACAGCAGGGCCGGCACACAGAUAUUUGCAAUUCUAAUGCAUGAAAUGUGUAAUUUUUAAAGUGACAUCAUAAUUUUUUCUCCUAAUACUAUGGGUCUAUCUAAAUUUAAUGAACAGACAAAAGUAAAGUAUGCAUCUAAUAUCAAACAGCACUGUUGAUUCACUUCUUUCAGUAAAAUGCAUGUUGGUGAACAUGUAGAAAUCUACUGGAAAAUAAUUAUAGUUUACUGUUUAAAACUAGGAAGUAACAGAACAGAUGCAUGUGAUCAUGCAUAGUUUUAAGAAGUAAUAUUCGGAUGUGGCUUAUAAUUGCAAAACUUCCCAUUUCAGAAAUGUUAGUCACAAAUUAUGAUGUAUGUUGUGUUGGUGUUUGAUUGCUUGGAUGUAUGCACAUACACAUAUACACUGUCACAUACAUACUUGCACAGAUAUACAGACACAUACACACACACAGAGAUACACACACCAACACAUACACACACAAAAACAGAGAUGCACACACUGACACAUGCACACACCCUGACACACAGAGACACACACUGACACAUAUACACACAGAUGCACACCCUGACACAGAUGCACACAGACACACAUACUGAUACAUGCAUACACCCUGACUGAUACACUAACAUAUACACACAUUGACACACAGAUGCACAUACAGAGAUGCACACUGACACAGAGGCACACACACUGACAUGCACACACAUCUAGACAUAGAUAUACACACAAUCUGACAUUCAUACACACAUCCUUGGCAUAAUUUUUUUUAUGUUUGCACCCUCUUGUCAGCUUACCUUUUUUGUACAUGAGGGUGGCUUGCUUGGGGUCCUACUGGCUGAUGCUCUGUUUGAAGCUGGAGACAAGCCGCGCUCUUAAAGGGCUAUCACUUGACCGGGCCCUGUUCAGCGAUAUCCAUCGGGUGGCUGCCUGCAACAACAGUAGUUCCGCCACUGUGCAUGUUUGAAAACUGUAAUACAAACAAGAGAGAUUUUUAAAGAUGACAUAUAUUUCCUUUAGCUGAUUUUAUAUAAUCAAGAGGGGGGGUUGGAUAGAUCUUUUACGGCUAUUCGAGGCCUUAAAAGACAUACAGACGUAAUCAAAAUUAUUUAAUCCCUAUUGAAAAUCAGGUUUACAGACUUUCAGCUGUUUGCAAUGAACAAAUCAACCAAAAUCAAUUGAAAUAGCUCAACACAAUGAAUGCUUCAAGUGGUAAACUCUAAAUUCCCAGUCUCAAAAUAAUUUAACCCAAGCAUCUUUGGUAGUGAUGUCCCGAACGGUUCGCCGAACGGUUCGUGAACGGUUCGUCACGAACGGUUCGCCACGGACUCAUCAUUGAGUAAACUUUGACCCUGUACCUCACAGCAGUGUUUCCCAACCCAGUCCUCAAGGCACACCUACCAGUCCAGGAUUUAGGGAUUACCCAGUUGUGUCUAAGGUGUUUUUACAAAGAAGAAAAAAAACACCUUAGACACAACUGGGUAAUCCCUAAAUCCUGGACUGGUAGGUGUGCCUUGAGGACUGGGUUGGGAAACACUGCCUUGAGGACUAGGUUGGGAAACACUGCCUCACAGUCAGCAGACACAUUCCAGCCAAUCAGCAGCAGACCCUCUCUCCCAGACCCUCUCACCUCCUGGACAGCAUCCAUUUUACAUUCUUAGAGAGCUGUCCAGGAGGUGGGAGGGUCUGGGAGAGAGGGUCUGCUGCUGAUUGGCUGGAAUGUGUCUGCUGACUGUGAGGUACAGGGUUAAAGUUUACUCAAUGAUGAGUCCGUGGCGAACCGUUCGCGAACCGUUUGGCGAACCGUUCGAGACAUCACUAAUCUUUGGUACUUAGUAGAGUCCAAUGAUGUCCAAGUUUCAGCUUUCUCACAGACGGCAUGACGUUUUCUCACUGGAUUUCCUGAUAAUUUAAUAAAUCCAUUUUACCAUCCACACGCUGCAGGUUACCAGUGCCAGCGGAUGCAAAGCAGCCCCAGAGCAUCACCAAGCUGCCACCAUGCUUGACUUUAGGUAGAGUGUUCUCUUCAGCAUAUACUUCAUUCUUUCUCCUCCAGACAUACCGCUGAUCCAUUGGGCCAAAAAGUUCCUGUUUUGUUACAUUGUUCCACCGAACAGAGUCCAAAAACUUCUGUGUCUUAUUUAUAUGAUUUUGAGCAUAUUAGAGUCAACUUUUUUUAAAACUUUUGGGUCAGUAGUGGUAUAAGUCUUGGAGUUCUGUCAUGGAUAUCUUCUGUGUUUAGUAGGUGCUGUGACGGACUACCCUGUCUCUGGAUUAUAAGUACUAUGUUUCACUCUCUUUUAUGUCCGGGACAUUGCAUUUCCCUUCAUUUUAUUAUUAUUUCAUUCACCCACCGAACAAACUCCCAAACAACCAUCCGUAUGCAGUGUACCACUCAUUAACCUCUGUCACUGUCUUAACACUCCUAAACUGCAAACAUUCUAAGCAGUCGGCUGGGUCUUUAAUAAUGAACACACAGAGCGGUCAUCGAAUGCAUGGAACCCAAAUCGGGCACUCAACGGUACUAACACCACUAUAACUUCCCUUCCAUUGAAGUUCGGUUAAACGUAUGGGGAUUGAAAGGCGUUCGGUGGGAGCAAGCUCCCGAACGAGAGACUGAGCGUACCCACGAACUGCUAUGUUCCGUGUUUUGACUAUAUUGAGUAUUCCCAAAAGAGGCCGACCGCAUAGCCUGAUUUCAUGGAACUCUUUUGGGCAGGAUGCCUCGUUUGUGGUCGGUCAAAAUAUGACCUCCAUUUAAAUCCCAAAUCCCUGAAUGAUUUUUGGAUAUGUUGGUCACCCAGAUUGGGGCCAUCAGGGUAUGUAACUUUUGUGGGGUUUCCAUUGGUUUUGGGGGUACUUUCGGGGUACUGCUAAAAUGUAUGUUUUCUGUGCCUGGAGAUAGUUGAGUUUAGUACAGUUUCUGACUCCAUUAUCUCUCAGGCACCUGGACCUGAGAGCCAAUGUAAUCAUGUGUAUGUUUUUACUGUCUACUCUGUCUACUCUUUUUACUGUCUACUCUCAGGUCUAGCGGGGAAUGCCCCUGGAAUAUGUAACAGGAAAUCCCUUGCAUGGCGACUGACAUAAAGGGCCGUGUGUGGCCCCAUUAAAGCCAGUUGUCCACAACAUAGAGCCUCGUCUAAUGUUUGUGAAAUAAAGCUAUAACGGCUGUCUUCCUUCUGCUUGGAGUGCUAAAUCACUAGCUCUUGUAAGAGCUGUUCCUGCUCUGUAUUACAGCAUCCCUCACACUAGGGGAAGAAGAACAUCUCUGGUGGCAAAACCUCUCUUCCCCUCGGGGUGGCCGCCACAGGUGCCUUACUGUGCUCACUGAAUCCUAAGUACCUGUUGCCACUAAGUAUUGCUGCAGGUCUUUUGUAGUCAUUUGAGGGUUUUUCACAAUCUGGCUUCUCAGAAAUCUGGUUGUAGCUAUUGAUAGCUUCCUUUUUCUGCCCCAUGCAGGUAGUGUAACUUCUGUUCCUUCAAACUUGAACUUGCAAGCUAUGCUUCCAACUGUGUCUCUAGGAACAUUCAGUGCCUUCACUAUCUUUUUGUAUCCUGUUCCCUGUUUGUGAAGGUUGAUGAUCUCUUUUCUUAACUUGCCCUUAAAUCAAUUAACUUUUGGACCAUUCUUUUGAUUUAUCCAUAUUUCUAACAUGCAGUUAAAUCUGAUACUCAACAAACCCCUAGCCAGUUCAAGUAUUUCAAGUGUUCCAACUCAAGCACACCUGGUACAAUUAACGAAGCCCAUGAUUAGUUGCAUAAGGUGUGCUUGAAACUGCACCUGUUUUGCAUAAUUAUGCUGUUGUGACGGAUUCUAUUCAGGGAGUUGAAUAAUUUGGGUGUGUGGAAAAGUCAGUAUAAGUUGCAUUUUCAGUUGAAUUUGAGGAAACCACCUGAAGCAUUCAUUGUUUUGAGCUAUUUCAAUUGCUUUUGCUUGAAUUGUUCAUUACAAACAGCUGAAAGUCUGUACAUUUUGAAAAUAAACCUGAUUUUCAACGGGCGUUGAAAAUUUUUGAUUACAACUAUAAAUUUCCUGACGUGACAAUAUCACUAGCACAGGAGGCAAUACAAUCAAUGAGUUAAUUUAAAAUAGAUGUGUUAUCCAAUAUUGACAGGUCUACUAUCUAGAAAAGUGGGGAGCGGGCCAGGCAGCAAUGGCAGUUUGCAUGCCAAUGGGCGAGCAUGUAAACAGGGCCUGUCAAACCAGCAUCCAUGUGCAACAGGGUAACAGAAUGCCUAUUUUGCCUGCCAUCAGAACUGUCCAUAUGAUGAAUAUAACUGUAGCAUUUGUACAUUGGCUUAAAUACACCUAAUUUAAUUACAUAUGCAGCACAAGCGUGGUUGAAGGGAUACUAAAGGCAAAACAAAAUUAACUUUCACUUAGAUAUGCUCCUGCUCUGUACAUUAAACUUCACUUGAAGAUUAUGCUAGCUUUAGUGUACCUGUAAUCUUAAUUUUAUUAAUAACAGGAGGCGAGUAUUUGCUGAAGUCUCUCUUUACUAGAACUCCACAGCAGCACAGAAAAAACAACCAAUCAAAAAAAAGUUAGGUACUAUAAAACUCCCCUCCCCAUCCAUCAUUUCCUCUUUCAAGCUGCGACUAAACAGAACAAAAGGCAGAAAAUAUAAUGGGGAAGAAACGAAGUCCUAGAUACAAUGAAUACAACAAUGUCCACCGUCUGAGAAGAACUGCCAAACCAGAUGGACUGUAAACUGAAAUGAGAGAAAAAACAGAAUCGAAAAGGUUGGUUAGCCAAUGAAAUGUACUCUGAACAAAAAAUGUAGGCACCCAGUGUAACAACCAGAAAUAUCAUAAUAUACAGAGAUCCCAACCCUUACUUUGGAAAACGGACUCAAGAACAAGAGACAGGUAGCAGAGACAACAAGCAGAGUUGCAUAAGUACCUGAUGAACCCAAACUAUAGUAUAGACAAGGGAGGGAUAAGAAUGGGUGGGAAAUACUCGCCUCCUGUCAUUAAUAAAAUUAAGAUUAUAGGUACACUAAAGCUAGCAUAAUCUACAAUUUUAUAACAUGACAGGAGGCUUUGUAUUUGCUUUUUUAACGCUCAGGCAACAAAGCCAACACUGUUUGUUUCACUGGUACUUAUUCCAGGAGAUAACUAGAUCAAUCCCAAAUGGACCUUCCAACUGCGAGAAGUGACAGUAGACGGAUCGAUGAAGAUGCCAGCUGUCGAUGUACCCAAAAAUAUGGAAAAUACACCCUCCGCUGUUACAUCCAUUGUUCCUUGGGUUUUAACCUGUUUUCUAGCAGCCGCUCCAUGAACUGCAAAGCUGACCUAUAGCCAUUUCCCCGUAGGUGUAAAAUACCGAAGGUCCUCCGUGGAUGUAGAAUCAUGAGAAAAACAGCCACUAGGUCUCGAGCCUUGAUGUGGAAGAUGGCCCCUCCGAUUGUGUCAGGGUCACCAGGUGAUGUGGCCUUGCAGGCAAAUCUCCAACCUCAAGUAAUGCGUCUACCACCAAUUUCGCAACAGAACUGAGAAGGACCCUUUCGCUACCUCAUGACCUACCCGGUGAGUGGUCUUACCCGAUAAUGAAAUUAUUAUGCAAGCAAGAGUGCAUUCAAAACUAUCCGUAUCCUAAGUGAUUCCAGUACUCCAAAUGGACUGUGUGACCCGCGACUGUGGUAGAGAAGGAACUCCCAAGGGACGUCUAAUCAGGGCCCCAAACUGAACUUGUGUAGUGAAAGGUGGUCGACUACUCUGAGGGAUUGUGAAUCCUGGAAAUAUUCAAAAGGAGUGGAACGUAAACAGGGGUUGAGAUUUCCAUCCAGAUAUAUAAUUGUCGAGGAGUGAAAAAUGGGCUGGAUCCAAUGAUAAUGGGGACCUGUCCAACCAAGAAGAAUCCUCACGUACUGUAGUGAAAGAGUGAAAUAAUCCGAUAACUACUUUAAAAAUUCAUGUAGGAGCUUAUGGCCUGCCCGCCACCUACGAGAUAGGGUAUAAUAUAUAUAGUAAUAUAAUANNNNNNNNNNNNNNNNNNNNNNNNNNNNNNNNNNNNNNNNNNNNNNNNNNNNNNNNNNNNNNNNNNNNNNNNNNNNNNNNNNNNNNNNNNNNNNNNNNNNCCGCUUUAAGGACACUGACUGCUAUUCAAUCUAUAACAGUGAAAAAAGAUUAUUAUUUUUUUUAAAUCCAAACUAUUGUGACACAGGAUCUAAGUAGUGGCACUUGUCAGCGUAUCCACUGUUAGCGUAACACACCCGCUUUAAGGACACUGACUGCUAUUCAAUCUAUAACAGUGAAAAAAGAUUAUUUUUUUUUUAAAUGCCAACUAUUGUGACACAGGAUCUAAUUAGGGGCACUUGUCGGCGUAUCCCACUUUGUUAAGCGUAACACACCAGCUUUACAAGGACACUGACUGCUAUUCAAUCUAUAACAGUAAAAAAAAAGUUUUUUGUUUUUAAAUCCAAGCUAUUGUGACACGGAUCUAAUUAGUGGCACUUGUCGAAGUAUCCACUGUUAAGCGUAACACACCGCUUUAAGGACACUGACUGCUAUUCAAUCUAUAACAGUAAAAAGUUUUUGUUUUUAAAUCCAAGCUAUUGUGACACGGAUCUAAUUAGUGGCACUUGUCAAGCGUAUCCCACUGUUAAGCGUAACACACCAGCUUUAGGACACUGACUGCUAUUCAAUCUAUAACAGUAAAAAAAGUUUUUGUUGUUUUUAAAUACAAGCUUUGUGUCACCAGAUCUAAGUGGUGGCAAUGGUCACCGUAUCCACUGUUAGCGUAACACACCCGCUUUAAGGACACUGACUGCUAUUCAAUCUAUAACAGUGAAAAAAGAUUAUUUUUUUUUUAAAUCAAGCUAUUGUGACACCAGAUCUAAUUAGUGGCACUGGUCAGCGUAUCCACUGUUAGCGUAACACACCCGCUUUAAGGACACUGACUGCUAUUCAAUCUAUAAUAGUGAAAAAAGUUUUUUGUUUUUAAAUGCAAGCUUUUAUGACACAAAUGAGUGGUGGCACUGGGCACCGUAUCCACUGUUAGCGUAACUCACCCAGCUUUAAGGACACUGACUGCUAUUCAAUCUAUAACAGUGAAAAAAGUUUUUUGUUUUUAAAUCCAAGCUAUUGUGACACCAGAUAUAAGUGGUGGCACUGGUCACCGUAUCCACUGUUAGCGUAACACACCCGCUUUAAGGACACUGACUGCUAUUCAAUAUAUAACAGUGAAAAAGUGUUUUGUUUUUUUAAAUCCAAGCUUUGUGUCACCAGAUCUAAGUGGUGGCACUGACUGGGGAAAUGGGCACAGUAUGCACUGUGAGCCUGACACAGAAGCUGGCAGCAGUGGCAGACAACUGACUGCUAUUCAAUCUAUAACAGUGAAAAAAGUUUUUUGUUUUUAAAUCCAAGCUGUUGUGACACCAGAUGUAAUUGGUGGCACUGACUGGGGAAAUGGGCACAGUAUGCACUGUGAGCCUGACACAGAAGCUGGCAGCAGUGGCAGACAACUGACUGCUAUUCAAUCUAUAACAGUGAAAAAAGUGUUUUUUUUUUAAAUCCAAGCUAUUGUGACACCAGAUGUAAUUGGUGGCACUGACUGGAGAAAUGGGCACAGUAUGCACUGUGAGCCUGACACAGAAGCUGCAGUGGCAGACAACUGACUGCUAUUCAAUCUAUAACAGUGAAAAAAGUUUUGUUUUUUUUAAAUCCAAGCUAUUGUGACACCAGAUAUAAGUGGUGGCACUGACUGGGGAAAUGGGCACAGUAUGCACUGUGAGCCUGACACAGAAGCUGGCAGCAGUGGCAAACAACUGACUGCUAUUCAAUCUAUAACAGUGAAAAAGUUUUUUGUUUUUAAAUCCAAGCUAUUGUGACACCAGAUGUAAUUGGUGGCACUGACUGGGGAAAUGGGCACAGUAUGCACUGUGAGCCUGACACAGAAGCUGGCAGCAGUGGCAGACAACUGACUGCUAUUCAAUCUAUAACAGUGAAAAAAGUUUUUUGUUUUUAAAUCCAAGCUAUUGUGACGCCAGAUGUAAUUGGUGGCACUGACUGGGGAAAUGGGCACUGUGAGCCUGACACAGAAGCUGGCAGCAGUGGCAGACAACUAAGUGCAUUUACAUUACAUAGAAAAAAAAAUCCAAAAAAAGCAUACCCUUAUCCCUAACCUAGCUAUACUUUUCCCUAUCUUAUGAACAGCAGCUACACUUUCCCUCCUCUUACUAAGCAUGCAGCUUGAGAAUGAAUCUAAAAUGGAUGCUGUCCAGUAGGUGGGAGGGUCUGCUAGGGAGGCUGUGCUGCUAAUUGGCUGGAAUGUGUCUGCUGACUGUGAGGUACAGGGUCAAAGUUUACUCAAUGAUGACGAAUAGGGGGCGGGUCGAACCGCGCAUAUGUUCGCCCGCCGUGGCGAACGCGAACAUGCUAUGUUCGCCAGGAACCGUUCGCCGGCGAACCGUUCGGUACAUCACUAGUGGUAAUGAGCUAAAUGCAUUUAGUCCAAUCACAAUGUGGUUUACAUAUAUAAAGUAUAAAAGCAUUUGUGUGUGUGUCAUUAAUUGGUUGAGGUUAUGGGCGCCUUUAUUUGCUAUUAUUUUCAUUGGUGGACAGUAGUGGUUGGCGGAAGUGUUCUGCGGGCUUCCGGGUGGUUGGCGGAAGUGACUUCAUGUAUACACGUGAUCGGCACUCCGCCGCCCAGAAUGCCCCUAGCUCCCCGGCCCCAAGUCUUAUAUACCCUGUAUCUUUCCAAAACACCAUAAAACCUGGACAUGAGUGUACCGUUGUAUCCGUGGGACAUUGCAGAACACACAUAUCAGUGUUUUAGAGCAGUUAAAUGUACAAUGCUAACCAUAUGAAGUUUGCAAAUGAAAUUGUUUUGUGAAAAAUACAAAAAAAAAUUUGAUUGCUCAAUUUGGCCAGGGUAUGCGGCUAAUAAAAUAGAGUGGAUAUACCCCAUUGUGAAUAGCCUUGGUUUUCUACUUUUUGUAAAUGGAAAGCCAUGAUGGAGUUACUUUUAAUUCCUGGGCUAUGGUCUCAAAGGCAACAUAGAUCCAGCAAACCAAUCUGGAAAAUUUCAAUGUGUAAAAACUGAAAAGAGGAAAACCAUAUAUUUGACUGUAAAUUUCCAAAACCCCCAAAAACUACCGUUGUACUCAUGAGACAUCACUGAACACAAAGGUGGAUUUUAUUGUAGUAAAAGCUAACAGUAUGAUGACAUUCACAGUUUAAAUGCCACGCAGAACUAAGAAAAUAACAUUUCUUAAUUUCUCACACUUUUUUUUUAGCUUUUAUUCAUAUUAAAUUAUGUUUCAUAUAUAAAUAUUUCAUGUGAAUUGUGAAUUGUAUUAGUUAAUGCUAUUUGUUUAAUGGGUACAUUGUUAAUUAGCAAUGAUUCACAUGAUGAGUUUGUCAACCAGCUCACUAUUUAGUAACUAAAGUGAUUAUUAUUAUUUAUUAUUUUAUGAAUUAUAUAGCGCCAUCAGAAUCCGUAGCACUGUACAACGGGACACUGAUCAUGUCCCUUUAAGAAUGGAUAAUCAUGAUAGAUGCAUGGAGAAUACUUGAAGAAGAACAUUUUGCAUGGCAAUUUAUUUUGAAGUGUUUUUUGUGUGAAGAGUGUUUCAUUUUGUUCAUUUUACAAAAUGAAACUGACACACUUCAUCAAAGACUCCUGUCUGUCAGUCAUUCAAAUGGUCCAUCGAGAGGCAGGCAAUUGCCCAGAGCACCUGCAUUGGGGAAAUCUGUAAUAAGACAGCAACAUAAAGUCUGGACUGAGUUAGAAAUAAAUGCUUGCAACGACUUAUUUCAUAAGACAUUGGUGGUAUAUCUACUAAAGAGUUAUUUUUUAUUUAUUUAGUAUUUUGACAGUAGAAUGUCUCUUUAAACACUGUCUGCACAAUCUCACAGAACUGUUAUUAAUUGCUUUGUUAUUAAUUUGCUAACUCUCUUCUCACUCAAGCACAGACAUAAACAGUAUCCUAUGCUGGAAAUUUUGUAAAGUAAUUCCACAUAACAGCAGGGUUAACCCCUUAAGGACCAAACUUCUGGAAUAAAAGGGAAUCAUGACAUGUCACACAUGUCAUGUGUCCUUAAGAGGUUAAAGGAACACCCCAUUCUCAAAAUACAAGGAAAAUGAAAAUCACUGUUUAGUAGAGACACCUCCAUUAAAAAUGUACAUGGAUUUAAUUAUGAUUUUUUUUUUCUUUAGGGUAGAUCCAAAAAUAGCUUAUACACUUACCAAUGCAGCCCCAUGAAAAGUUUUUGCAAGGCAGGUGCUCUGGACAAUUGCCUUCCUCUUAAUUUAGCUUUACUGAGCUAAACAAUUGGAAAGUAAGAGGACAGGUUUACUAACUGACAGAGCUGCAUGCAUCUACCCAGGUCAAGGUACAUAUAUAUGUUCUUUGUAUUUUUGCAAGGAGUUUCACUGUUUCCAUUGUUUCCAGUAUUUUUUCUCAGUAAUUUUUAAAUGUGCCAAGAGGACACACUCUUCACACACAAAGAUCUUUAGUAAGCUGUAGUGCUUUAGGAGACUGGAGUAUUUCAUCCUUCUGAUAUUUAUAAACUGAGCAUUGUUACGAUUGAUAAAAGCUUCUAUGUCUAUAGACAAACUUGAAAAUGGGAGAAAAUAAGUUUAUUAGCUUUUUUAAACUCAUUUUUUAAUGUCACCUGUAUUAGGAGGUUAGCAAUACGUUUGUAUUUCUAUAAAGACUCAAUAUGAAAGUAUUUAUAGAUUGAAAAAAAAAAAAUCAGUGAAUAAUCUAUAUUUCUUUAUGUUCAGUUGAGUCAUUCCUUAUGGUUUUAGGUUUUAUGCUAUUAACAGAAUACUGUUAAUCUGUCUGCAGUUCCUCUUCAAGCACCAAUUGUGAACAUUUCUGAAGUUGUCAAGAACUCUGUAAAGCUAUCUUUUCAUACGGAACACCAUGAAGAAAUGACUUGUUAUUUACUGUUCUAUAAAUACCUGGAUUCCAAUAAAAGGAGAAGACAG
Molecule: long non-coding RNA, 61903 nt
Filed under: Pelobates cultripes (western spadefoot toad)
Lineage: Eukaryota; Metazoa; Chordata; Amphibia; Anura; Pelobatidae
Source: RNAcentral